AUACCUGUAGCAUAUAGUAAUAGUAAGCAGUAAUAGCAAUGGCCUCCUCCAUGAUCUCAUCGGCAACCAUUGCCACCGUGAACCGCUCCUCCCCGGCACAGGCCAACAUGGUGGCCCCCUUCACCGGCCUCAAAUCUGCCUCUGCUUUCCCAGUCACCAGGAAGGCCAACAACGACAUCACUUCUCUUGCAAGCAACGGUGGGAGAGUGCAAUGCAUGCAGGUACUUGGUGAUGCAUAAAUACCACUUAAAUUACCCCAAGUGUUUGAACACAACAAAUUACAUAAAUUGAAUCAAAUAUAUAUCUUGGCUUUUGAGUACAGGUGUGGCCGCCUCUUGGGAAGAAGAAGUUCGAGACUCUCUCAUACCUGCCCGAUCUUACUCCCGUACAGUUGGCUAAGGAAGUAGAUUACCUUCUUCGCUCUAAAUGGAUUCCUUGCUUGGAAUUCGAAUUAGAGGUGUUUUGGAGCUCUAAAUUAUUCCAUUCCUCCUCUUAAUUUUUUUAGUGGGAUAUUUGAGUUGAUUAAGUGUGUUUUAUAUGUAUGUGCAGGAGGGAUUCGUGCACCGUAAGUACUCGAGCUUACCCACGUACUACGAUGGACGCUACUGGACCAUGUGGAAACUGCCCAUGUUCGGGUGCACCGACUCGGCUCAGGUGUUGAAGGAGCUUGAGGAAUGCAAGAAGGAAUACCCCAAUGCAUUCAUUAGAAUCAUUGGGUUCGACAACGUUCGUCAAGUGCAGUGCAUUAGUUUCAUUGCCUACAAGCCUGAAGGCUACUAAGUUGUUUACUUCCCUCCUAGGAAUUCCAUUUGUUUCAAAGUUGUACUUAAAUUAAGCCCCUCAAGCCCCCCCCCCCUUUUUCUUUUUCUUUUUUAGUUGAGUUAUUUGGCUUGGGGUCUCUCUUUGUUUUGUUUUUGGAUUUCCAAUGGAACGGCUGAGAACUAAUGAAUAAAAAGGUAGUUUCUUGCCAUAUUUCAUGAAUCCAGUUCUUCCUCCAUUUUCAGUGCUAAGAUAUUCAUGUUAAGAUAGGAUAAAAAUUAAAAGAAAAAAAGGUGAUUGGGUGGUCUGGCUUUAAAAUAAGAGGAUAAAGAUUUUGUGGACAAGCAACGCUGUGCUGUUGGAGGCUCAUUAUCUUAGUACAUAGGAAUACACCAAAGAAACCAUUUUUAUUAAAUUGUUUUAUUAUGACAUCACAAGUUUCUAUUAUUAAAAUAACAACUUAAAAAGGCUAAAUUCAAAUAUAUAUAUAUAUAUUCUGCAUUCAAUCUAUUUCCUCGUUAAAUAUUAAAAUCACUAUUGGUAUAGUGAUAAAUGAUUUGCAUUACAUAAGUUUUAGUUGACAUCUUCGAGCUUAAUUUAAAAAUAAUAAUAAUAAAUUUAAUACAUAAUAUAUUUUUAUUUUAUCAUUUUCACCCUAAAUUUUUUUUAAAGUCAAAUAAUAGUUUGUUUUGAAUAGAAAAAUUGAAGAAACUAUUAAAUUUUUAAUAACACCAUGUGACAAUUUAUAUGACAGUUUACAUAUAUUUCAUUAUUUAUGUAGAUAAUUUUUUAAAAGAAAUUACAAUUUUUUUAAAAAUAUUAUUUUUAAUUUUAUAAAUUACAUCAUGCAAACUAUUGCAUCAAUGCCAUUUAAAUUUAAAAGAUGUAGUCACUUUUUCCAUCUAAAAAAAGCAAUUUAACUAAUUUUCAAGGUUGACGGUAAAAUAUCCAAAAAAAAUAAAAUAAAACUAAAAUACUAAAAAAGUAUUGAAUUUAUUAUUAUUUUAAAAAUAAUGAUUAUGAUUUUCUUUAUUAGUUUUUAACCCAACAUGGAAAAGGAAAACCAUAAUAAUGCUUAUUAAUUAUAAUAUUGAAUAAUACUAGUAGCUCUAUGUUCUUAAACUCAAUUUCAUUACAAAAAUUGUAACUCAAAGGGUUAGGAUUUUUUGUUUUCUAAUUUGUGAUUAAUUAGUGGACUAUAAUUUCCAUUCUCUUUUUUAUAUAAAAAAAACCCUAAUAUUAAGGAUAGCUACAUUUGUGGAGGAACCAAAAGAUAGAGAAAUUCAGAUAAGAAUUGUCUCCCUCUCCCUCUCAGUCGAAGUGCGUCAAUAAUUGGAAUAGAGCUCUAAAAAUGCAAUUCUAGAAAAAAAAAUUUGCCUAUCAGAUAUUAGUUUAAAUAUUGGUUAAAUUGCAAUUCGAAUAAGUAAUUAGGAGUAGAAAAUAUAAAAAAUGACACUAACGUAAUUCAAAAAAUUUCACCAUGUAUAAGGUUUUGCUCAAAAAUUGACAUUAAAAAUUUGUUCGCACGGUUCAAAAAAAAUUUCCAUUUAUAAGGUCUUACUUAAACAUUAAAAUAUAAUUUAAAUUAAACUCACUCUCAUUAAAUUUUUUUUAAAAAAAAGCUUAGUUAUAAACUAAUCGAUAAAAAUAUAUUACUUACAAAGAAUUUACACUCAGAUAGAUUUCUAAUAUAAACAGAAUAAAUACUCUCUCAACUCCUCUAAAAAAAUCGAAAAUACAUUUAAAUAGGCAUUAUGGUAAUUUUUAAAAUGGUAAUGUGAUCAAAAUGAAUAUGGGAAAUCUCAUUUCAAUUAAAUAACUUAUUAUAAAAUAUAAUAAAAGAGAUUUUCUUAAAUCAAUCUCUUUUAAAUGAGGUAGGCAUAUUACAUAAAGAUUCUUUGAAAUUUUUCACUUCAUUCAAUUUUUUUCAAUAUUGUAAUUUACUUAAAAAUAUAUAAAUAUAUACAUGUUAAGUAAAUUAUAAUAUUUUGUCGACUUUUGGCCUUUCCUUAAGUCGCAACUAACAUUAUAACUGAUGUUAACAAAAUUCAUAAUUGUUUCUCUACCAUGUGUAGCCUAAAAAUGUUAAGAUUAGAGAAGCAAUACGUAAAAGAUAAAGAAAAGAACCAUAAAAGUCAUUGUUUUUUUUUUUAAUUUUAAGAUAUGUUUUAAAAAAAAAAAGAAAUUAAAGUAUUUAUUCUGUUAAAUUGGAUAGUAAUUAUCUAAAAUUUUAAAAUACACACUAAAACAUUCUCAAUCAUUAAAAUUUUUUAUUUAUAUCUUACGGCCUGUUUAGUAUUACUUCUCAGAAGUAUUUUUUAAGAUAAAAUGUAUUUUUGAGAUAAAAUAUAUUUUAAAAAAGUACUUUCUUUACCAAAAGUAAGAGGAAAUUUAAACUUUAACUCAAAAAUACUUUUUAACCCAAAGCGCUUUUAAAAAAUAUUACUAAAUUAUCUCUUGUAAGUACAAAAAAAAAUAUAUCAAAUUUGAAAAUAUAUAUAUUUCGCAGGUUACUGAAAUAUCUUAAAUAUUUGAGAAAAACCAACCAGAAUAAAUCCAUCCAAUGGAAUACUGAGAAAAAAUAAAAUAAUAGUUGUAAGAAAAUGAGUGGCGUCACAUUUACACUAAUGGUUUCCCAAGUGGUACAUGAGAAGUUUUUAAGGCUCCUAUAAAUUUAUUUUCGGGACCAUAAACGUAGACCUACCAAUAAUUGCAUUUGUUUUCUUUUUAUACUUUUAUAACUCAUAAUAUUGUAUAUUUAUAUAAAUCCCAAUUUUUUCACUCAUAUAAAAUAUAGUGUUAAAUUCGAAUGAAAAAAGAUGUUAAAUUUGUGUUGGGUAAAAAUAUAAGAAUUUUAUGUUAUUUGCAAAAUAUUCCGUGGUAUUUAUGUUAGAACCGUAAAUAAUAUCUAAUAUAAAUUAAAAUUGUAAAUUAGGAUCUGUCAUGUCAAAUUAUUAAGAAUAUAAAUCAAGAAAAAAAUUAGAUGCGGGAGCAUACUUAAAUUUACCGAUUUCUUGAAAUCUACGGAUCUUGGAGUUUUGAUCUUCCAAAUUAGCAUAUAAGUAAUCUAAAGAAUGUGACUCUCUUUUGGCAUAAACAAAAACACCAAAGCAAUUCACGCAUAUACGUGUAUUCAAAAUCAGAUAGAAAAAACUUAUCAUGCAUAUAUAAUGUAAAUCUAAAAUUGUAUUAAUGAUUAAACAGAGAUUUGCAUGAAUACUUGAAAAAUACAUUCAAGCUAAUAAAUCUCAAAAAAUAAAAUCAUAAUAGUUAAUAUAUCCCAUAGUUCAUAUUGUAGACCAUAUCAACAUAAUUUAACUAAAUAUUUGGAACCAUAAAAUGCCAAAACCUAAUGUUGUAGAACCAACCUUAAAACCAAAUUAUUUAAACAUGUACAUAGUUUACAUGAAUUUGCAUCAAACACCUGUCAAAUUGAAUAUAUAACCAUAACAGAUAAAAAAAAUUAACAACGUCAACGAUAUCCAUCAAAACUUAAUGUCACCAAUUAAUCUAUAAAAUGUAUCUUAUUGAAUAAUGGUUAUAAACACCUAUCCACGCAAACUAUAAUCAUGUAUUAAUCCUCAAAAUCAUUGAUAUGCAUAAUAUAUAUACAAUAUAAUAAUAGAAAAAUAAUACUGGCUUGCCUUACAUAUUUUAUGUAAACUCAAAUUUAUAUAUAAAACUUAUUUAUACGCACAAACACUUAAAAAAAUCCAUAACCACCAAAUAUAAAAACAAUCCCAAAUUAUAUAAAGGCCUUCAGCGCAACUACUUAUAAAAAUUUAUAGCCACCAUAAAAAAAACCCAAAUAUUGUAAUUUUAGUCGGGUUCCAUAAGAAACUUAUAUAAAAUAAUUAUAACAGAAACCAAGUAAUCAUUCGUAUAUAUGAAUUGAAUUCAAUCGUGAAUAUAAUUCAUCAUGAAUAAAGACAAAAGAUGAUAAUUCCAUAUACAUUUAACCACAAAUAGAAAAUUUAAAAUAAAUACUGCAGAAAAAAAUAUCUUAACAACAUUUAUUUAUUCGAUUAUCAAGUGAAUUACUAUUCAAAACCAAUUAUAUAACCCAAUUGAAAUUCUUCAAUUGCAAAAAGUUGUAAGUCUGUAACUUUAAUCUAAUAAUAACUUUAACCAAAAUUUAUAAAAUAAGUGUGCGAAAAGGAGAGAAAGAAAUCUCACAAAUCUAUUUUUAUCAAUUGAUUAUAAAUAAAUAAAUAAACCUUCAUCUUUCGAAUAACAUACGCAAAUAUUAAACUAGAUUAUAUUUAUAAAACCCUAAACUUUAUUUAAAGAAUCAAAACCCAAAAAUUUUAUUAAGAAUCUCAAAGAUUUAACAUAGUAUAUAAUUAAAAUAUCAAAUCCAUAAAUUUAAAAAAGAAAAAUGAAUCAAUCCAAAAAUAAUAAAGAAUCAAUUCAUUCCCUAUUAUUCAACAUGACAAGCUCUAAUGCCACUUGUUAGAACCGUAAAUAAUAGCUAAUAUAAAAUUAGAACUAUAAACCAGGAUCUGUCAUGUCAAAUCAUAAGAAUAAAUCAAGAACAAAAUUAGAUGCGGAAGCAUAGCUGAAUUCAUCGAUUUCUUGAAAUCUACGGAACUUGGGGUUUUGGUCUUCCAAAUUAGCACACAAAUAAUCUAGAGAAUAUGGUUCUCCCUUUUCUAAAGAUGGGAUAUUAGAAAUGUUACAUUGUAUGUAAUUUGGAAACCAUAACCAUAAUAUAUAUAUAUAACUUUGGCACAUUAGCCCUAAUUUCUAAUCAACUCAUCAUCAAUUAAAAAUUAAUUACUAGAGUAUCUACACAUAUUUGACCCAUAUUUUUUUUAAUAAUUAAAGCCCAAUAAACCGUAACCAAAUUAAAUCACUUUUAAUUUAAACUAACCUAUUAAAAUAAUAAAUAAUAACAUGUAAUUACCAUUAUUAUUAUAUAUAAUAAUAUAUAAUACUAUUAUUAUUAUAUAUGUAAUGUCCAGAUUUCUAUCUAUUUAUAUAAAUCUCUCCUAAAUUAUGCUUUCACGAACUUGUAAGAGUCAAAACUGUCGAAAGCUACUUAUGGGGUGUGGCUGUAUAAUAGAUCGAUCAAGGUAGUGCUGAGCGAGUUUUUGUUUUUGUUUUUGUUUUUCUUAUAUAUAUACUCUAUACAGUUAGGUUGAUACACACGUGGAAGGAAUAUGUUAGAAAAAUUAAAUACUAAAAUAAGAAAUAAAAUAAUGGUUUAAAACAUGUAAAACAUUUUUCUUAAAACUUUAAAAUAUUUUUAAAUUACAUCAGCACUUCAAGUAAAAUAAUAAAAAUAUUAAUAAAAAUCCAUUUAUAUAAACAUCCAAUAGGUGAUAUAUCCUUUCAUAAGGAUAUAUAUUUUAAUGAAACACCCUUUUAUAAGAUUAUAUUGUUUUAUAAUAUAACUUUACAUAAAAUUAUAAUUUUAUUAGAUAAUUUUAUAUAUAAAAAUUUUAUCUUUACAAUACAAUUAUUUGAUAAAUAAUUAUAAUUUUUUUACAUAAUAAAAUAUUAUUACUACCAAUAUUAUAAACUAUUGCAAAAAGGAUACUCACACUAUAUAUUAGACCUGUCCAUGGGCCGGGCCGGGCCCAGAAAAAUUUUUGGCCCGCCUCUUAGGCCCGGGCCCGGCCCGAAAUAUGGACAUGAAAUUUUGCCCAGACCCGGCCCGAGAAAAAUAUCAUAAGUCCGAGCCCGGCUCGGCCCGGCCUAUUUUUAAUAAACAUUAAAAAAUUAUUUUAAAAAUAAAAAAUAAAAAAAAUUUAAAAGUAUUUUAAAAUUAAAAAAUAAAAAUAAAAAAUAUAUAUUUAUUAUAUUCGGGCCGGGUCGGGCCGGGCCGGGACCAAAAAAGUGAUGCCCGAGACCUUACCCGUUUUUUAAACGGGCCUUAUUUUUUUACUCAAGCCCAUAUUUCGGGCGGGGCAUUGGGUCGGGCCGGGCAUGGACAGGUCUACUAUAUAUGCACACCCUCCGUUCAAAGAGUGUUAUCUAAAUAAAAAUUUACCCAAUUCUUUAAAUCUAAAAAAUUAUAUAAAUCAAUAUCUUUUAACCACUAAACAAAACAUAAAAGUUAACGGUGGACAGUGAAUUGAGUUGAUUAUAUUUAGAACAUCACAUCACAGCCACAUCAGCUUCCAAAAUAAUAUGAAAAAGAGUUAUCCAAAUGUGAAGCUACCAAUGUCCCGACUCUUAGCUGCUUCAACCAUUCCAUUACUAUCUCCCAACCACCCUGCCUUUGCCUCCCCUUUCUUUAUUGAUCUCGUUCGCUCGCUUAAAUUUUAAUCCUACUUUUAAUUUUAUAUUUAUUAUAUUAAAAAUUCCAUUGAAAAAUAUUUCAAUAAUUAAUUGAGUUCUCAAAUAGGAUAAUACUCAAUUGAGUUUUUAAUUAAAUUUAACUACUCAAUCGAAUCCUCAAUCGAAUUUAAGCAAUUAAUUAAAUUCUCAUCUUUUAACAUUGUUAACUUGUCAAUGACUUCAUCACGUGUUAUGCCAGGGUUGUGCCCCGUAACGAAAUUUGGUAAUUUUUAUUAUAUUUAUUUUAAAAAUAAUAAAAAAUUUAAAAAAAUAAAAAAAGGCAUUUAAAAUUUUAGAACAUUAAAAGAAAAAUUAGACUUUAAAAAAAUUAUUAAAAAUUAUAAAAAUAGAAUUCAUUAAAAAGCAUAAUUUUUUUUGAAAUUUUAGAAAAAAAUUUAGAAAAAUAGAAUUUAGAAAAAUUAUAAAAAAAUCAUAAAAAAAUUGUAAAUAUAAUUUUUAAAAAUUAUAAAAAAUGGAAAUAUUAAAAUAUUAAAAAUAAUAGAAAUCAUUUAGAAAAUAAAAUAUAAAAUAUUUAAAAAUUAUAAAAAAAUUUAAAAAAUUAGAUAUUUUAGAAUUUUUUAUGCUUUUUAAUGAUUUUAUAAAAAAAACAUUUUUUAAUAAUUUUUAUAAAUUGUAUAUUUUUAAAAGUUUCAAAAAAUUUAGAUUUUUAAAAAUAUUUUUUUAUGAUUUUUUAUAAAAAAUUAAAUUACCAAAUUUCGCUACGUGGCACAACUCUAUUGUGCCACAUGAGGGAGUUAAUGUUGUGUAGGGGCUUCCACAGAAAGUGUUGAUUUGAAUGAUUAAUUGAGUGCUUAAGUUUGAUUAAGGACUCAAUUGAGUGUUGCUUUUGAUUGAGAACUCAAUUGUUUAUUGAAUUAUUUUCAAGUGACUUUUUUAUAUAAUAAGUAUUGUGGGGUGUGCCUCGCAUUUAUCGGAUAGUUUACAGACACUUACCAAAGUCAGCCAGCAAUGUCACGACGAGAAGCUUCUCGAAGUUGCGAUGACGGACGACAUUAUGAUGAUGUAAAUGAGGACGUUGCGAUGUGACAACGUGUUUCCCACAAACAUCGAAUUUCUUUUCCUAAUUAAACUAUGUUAUCUUUUCCCAGUCGAACUCUAAUUACUCUAGGGAUAUUUUAGUAAUAUUAUGACUUUAAUAUUAGCCUAUUUAAAUGGUUUUUGUAACCCUAUUUUAGAGAGUUAAUAUAGAAUAUCUCUUAUGUGAGAUUUGAUGAAGAGUUUUGGGGAGAGUUUUGGAAAGAGCUUUGUAUUUAGGUUUUUGAGUUUUGCUCUUUUAGGAUUAUUUUCUUUAUCUUGUACUCUCGUAUGUUUACUCAUCUAGUGAAAAGUUGAAGUCUCAUUUGCCCCUGUCCUUUUUAUCCUCUUAACUGAGGGUUUUCCACGUAAAUAUUUGUAUGUUUGAUCUUCUCUAUUUUCUUGUUCGUUGCUUAUAUGGGUCGAUCCUCAACAAACUAGUAUCAGAGCUAGGUUAUGUUUUUGCAAUCGACCCGUUCAAGUAUAAUGACAACGAUUUUGAUAUUGAAAAGUUCAAUGAAAUCAUAGAUUUCAUAUUGUAACAGUUUCGGAUAAAGUAAAGUGUUUAAAGCAAGGUUGGUUGCAAAGGGUGACAAUCAAGUGGAGGGAGUUGAUUUCCUCAAUGCUUUCUCUAUUGUUGUGAAGCACACAUCCGUUCAGGUAUCAUUGGCAUUGGUUGCAUUAUACAACCUUGAUUUGAAGACUAGGAGUCUUUCGGUUUCCAAGUUCGAGAACGGUUUGGGCUUGGUUGACAUUCUGCAAAGAUCAAGUUCUGCUUGUGGCGGGACCUGGAGAAUAAGGUACGGUAAAUACGAGUCAAGGUGAAGAUUUGUAGGGUGUGUCUCGUAUUUAUUGGAUAAUUUGUAGGCACUUACCAAAGUCAGCUGACGACGUCACGAUGAGAAGCUUCCAAACGUUGUGACGAUGAACGACUUCAUGACGACGCAAAUGAUGAUGUUGUGACAUGGCGACAUGUUUCCCACAAACACCGAGUUUCUUCUCUUAAUUAAACUCUGUUAUCUUUUCCUAGUCAAAAUUUAAUUACUUCUGGGAUAUUUUAGUCGUUUCAACCUUUUAAACUUAGUCUAUUUAAAGGGGUCAUUGUAUCCCUAUUUUAGAAAGGCAAUUAAAGAUGUAGUACUAUAGAACUUUUCUUUUGGGGACGACAAUAUGAGUUGCAAAUGAGUUUUAGUGAGAGUUUUCGUAGUAACUAUGGAGAGAAUUUAGUUCCCAAGUUAAGACUUUGUUUUCAAGGUUUGGGUCUGUACAUUUAAUACAUUUAGGUUUAUUUUCUUCAUCUUAUACCCUCGUUUGUUUACUCAUCUAGUAAAAAGUCGAAGCCUCCUUUGCCCGUGAUUUUUAUCCUCUUAAAUGAGGGUUUUCCACGUAAAUAUUUAUGUGUUCGAUCUUCUAUAACUUUUCUAUUUCGAUAUUUAUACAAGUCAAUCUCUAACAAAUAUUAAUUCUAGGAAUUUAAUAAUUGAAAAUCAAUUAAAAAUAUCAUUAAAAGAAUGUGAGAUAUAUAACAUUUUAAAAAUACUCAUGUAUCUAAUAUUGCAAACAUAAAUAAGCAAAAAAACAUUAAAUGUGGAGUUAUAAGGUUUCGAUUCUAAAUUAAAGAUGAUAAGUUUCUUCAGACUCUUUCAACGAAAGAGAUUAAAAGUUUAUUAUUUAUUUAUUUAUUUAUUUUGCUUACAUGAUUUCUACGCUUCUUUCAACCAGCCAAAUGAACCAUUUUCAUUUUAAAAAUGGCAUGUUAUCUAAUUUAAUGAAAUUCCUUAACCGCCUUAUUAACUGAAUUUUAAUUAUUAAAUUUUAAAAAAUAGAAUGAGUAAUUUAAAAAAAAAAAGCACUAAAUUUCAAAAGUAUAAUUAAACUAAAAAGUGACAAAAAAUCAUGUUCAAUCAUAGCUGCUGCUAUAAGGGAUUCGGAAGGUUUUGCAAUGGGUUCUUGUGUAGCUGCUAAGGUCAAAACCAGUCAUGAAGCAAAUGGGAAUUGCUCUCCCAGUGGGAAUUACAGAGGGGAUGUGCAUGCAAUGACCAUCAUCAGGAACCAUGUCGGUUGCUAUCAUAUGAUAAAACAUAAAUAUGAUGCUCAAUACGUCAUAGGAAGAAAAUUUGACAAUUAUUGAAUCAUAAAUUACAGAACAAAAUUCAAUUACCAAUAGGAUCUAUACACAAUUUCCCUUGCUCUUCUCCAUGGUGAUUUACAAAAUCAAAAUAUCAAAUCAUUUAUAUUACGAUUCAUCAUCAUUUGCUCAAUCCCCUGAAAAUUCAAUCCUUUCACAUUGCCUUCCCUUCCAUCCCAGCAAUCAAAUAGAUUUUACCAGACCAAAAACCACAUCAUAUAUACACUAGUACACACAAGUUAAUCUCUUUCUCCCCAAAAAUAAUCCAUAUUUCCCUAAUUCAUCCCUACUUUGUCCUCCCGGACGGUGGCCUUCUAUGUACACUGUAGAUCUAAGCCAUAGCAGGGAUUCUGGAAUUUUGGCUAUCCCUGUUAAGGCAAUCAAAUCCUUCUACUCUAAUUGCCGCUGGUUUUAGCCCAAACGACAUCCUAACACAUCCCCCUUUAUGUGCCGAUGGCGACGGAGAUGGACUUUGCGAUGCUGAAAGGGCUGCAACUCUUUCGUCACCAAAUCGAGCAUCUUGCACAACUGGGUUCGUGGCCCUACUUGGGGGCGAACCACAAAAAAAUGGGGGUGAAGAUGCUACCUGUGCUGCAGAUUGCUCUGCCCAUAAAUCACCCUACAAAAACCGAAACAAAACAACACGAUAAAACAAGUCCAUCCUAGAAACAAAAACAUUAACACACAUAACUCAAACCUCAGAAAUGCAAACAUCCUAUAUUACUCCAAAUUGGAAGUAAAAAUAUAUCCGACUUUUAGAAGCAUUUUCAUAUAGUCGUUUAUUCGGAUAGAAGUGCAAGACGCAAAUACUUUUAAGAACCAUAGCAACUAUCAAAAAGCAAUAUGUAUAUAACAUUAGUAUUUUCACUUCUUUAAAAUACUUAAGAUUCAGUGAUUACCUUGUUGAGGAUGAUAUCUAGAAGUUCUGCACUGGCUUUCGAUUCACUUACAUCGGCUUGGUGACUGGAAUUGAAACCCAAAAAUCAAAAUUAAUAAAAGCAAGCAAAUCAAAUCAACCAAAAUUCCAAUUAGAGAAAAGGGGGAAAAACCCAAAGGACAGAGAAAAGAAAAAUAAUACCUCAUAUGCAAUCUAAAAGGCUUGAUAGGGUUAUUGGUGAGAACCCCAAUUCGCCGAGGCUUAGGGCAAACAACGGGGCCGGCCCUAUGAUGCUCCGAUAUUGAAGAGAUAAACCCUCCCAUCUCCUCAUAAGCGGAAACGGCAAUGGGAUUCUGCUGAAGAUUGUAGUGAUUCAUCUUCCUCAAAAAUCUAACAUUCAAAUAAUUAAUUACAAAAAAGAAGUCAACAACCAGAUCUAAGAAAAAUGAUUCAAUUAAGACAUAGAAACAGACAAUUUAUAUUUUUUUCCCCCUUUAGUUUCCUUCAUUUUCACAGAAUCCCAAAAAAAAAAAAGGUCAAACCCAAAAAGGAAAACAUAAAUAGAAACACAGAUCUAGGCCCAGACCUUAAAAUCAGUGAUCACGGGUUGCUGUGGAGGUAAAACUGUAAUAAAUUUAGGAUUUAUAUGUCUGCGUAAAAAAUAUUAUAAUUUACAUUUAUAUAUAUCAGAUUCAGAGAGUUAAAAAGAAGAUCCGAAAUAUCAGGGAUUAAUUAAGACGUAACAAAUAAGAAUGAAAUACCCAGAAGGGAAAUUCAAGUGUUACAGCUAAAAACUCAUCAUAAAUAUUGAAUAGACACUUUGAAAUUUGACUUAAAAACAGAAUUGUUCUUUAACAGCAAAAAAAUAGGAAGAAAAAGAAAAAGAAAAAGAAACAGAUCUAAAAAUAUAUUUUACAAAAUAUAUACAGAGAAGUGAAAUCUUAUAUAUGAUUAAAUAAGUUUAAAAAAGGGAAACUUGAUUUUUGAGAUUUACCUGAAGGAAUCCCUUUGAAAGAAGAAAAAGCAGAAAAAUGGUGGAUGAGACGAGGAAGGAAAAGGUCUUAAUGGAGGCCAGGAGGGAAAUUAUAUACAAUGCCCAUUUUACCAUUGUAAAACAAUCUCCUCCACUUUUUUUUAAAUAUAAUUUCUUUUUGAAUCUUGGGAAAAUUAUUUUAACUUCGGUCAAUUAAAAUAUUAAUUAUCAAUAAAUGCCAAAAAAAAUUACGUGAAUAGAUCAAUUUUUUUAAAAAAAUUAUGGGAAUAAGCUAUUUUUUGGAAAUCACUUCCAAUUUGCAGGGAAACUUGGAAGCGUUUUCAGCAUGUUGCAUUGAAAACGCUUCCAGCUAGAAUCGCUUUCUACUAAGUCACUUGGAAGCAUUUUCAACAUAUUGCAUGGAAAACGCUUUCAGUUAGAAUCACUUUCUGCUAAGUCACUUGAAAAUGCUUCCAGUUGGAAGUGUUUUUCCCCCCAACAGUAAAAAAUAACAGUUAUUUAAUUAGUCGUUAGACACCCCCAAACAGUCAAAUUUUAUUUUCCUAUAACCCUCUCCCAUUUCAUUUUUUCCAAUUCAAUCUCAACUCUCUCUCACAUUCUCAAUACCCACUUAAAUUCACUAAUUUUUUUUGCUCUCUCAAUUUUAUUUUUUAUUUAAAUUAUCUUAACAUUUUCUUAAAUUAUUCUUCUAAUACAAAUUAUUCAGUUUUUUUCGAAAUUAUCAAUGGCAAAUUCUCUAAUUCGUCAUGAUAAGAACUAAACUUUCGUCAAUCAAUUGCAAAUGGUAAUAAUAUUUCUUAUUAUAUUUUAAUGUUGCAUAAUUUUUAUAUAUUUUUUUAUAUUUGAAUUUAUUAUUUUGUAUAUUUUUUCCUUAAAUAGGCAGAGAUUGAAUUUUGCAAGCCAACAUUCGUAAUCUACUCGCUCCUCCAUCACCCUUGAUCAAACCGUACUUGAGAGAAGUCGAUUUUUCGCACGUGGCCCUUAUAGGUAAGGGGUGUAAGUUGGACCCAACACUCGUAAGCGCGUUAAUGGAAAGGUGGAGAUCGAAGACGCACAUUUUCCAUCUUCCAUGUGGCGAGUGUACUAUCACUUUGGAAGAUAUGCAAUUACAACUUAGGUUACUAGUGGAUGGGUUUGCAGUGACUGGGACUGUUCACACAACCAAUUGGAAAAUGGUAUGCGAUGAACUUUUGGGGUUGGUUUCGGAGACAAUUUUUGGAGGUCGGAUAGAAAUGGCUUGGUUAAGAAGAAAUUUCAGUAAGCUUGAUGAGGAUUCAACUGAAGUCGAAAGAGAACAACACGUUCAGGAUUACAUCCUUAUGUUAAUAGAGGGUAUCAUAAUGCCGGAUAAGUCACGAAAUUUCGUCCAUUUAAGGUGGUUGUUGAAACUCGUCAAUAUUCGUAAUCUACUCGCUCCUCCAACUUAGUUGGGGGUCCACCGUGUUGGCGACCUUGUACCAAGAGAUGUGUCGAGCGACGCAACCACGAAAAAUUAAAAUUGGUGGUUGUAUGCUACUAUUGCAGUCAUUGGCGCGUUAUCAGCUGCCAUUUUUGUCCUGAAGCAAACUACCUUUACAAAUUCAUUACAUAAUUUAUUUAUUGCAAUAAAAUAAUCUAAUGUUUAAAUUAUUCUGUUAACAAAUUAUUUCAAUAGGUGGAAUAAUGGGUCAAGUUACGUGAGAAUAUCGAAAGAGCUAUGAUAUAUACGACUUCUGUUAGACCAACGAUCUGAAGCAAAGGUAAGUAUUUUUUUUAAAUUUGAAUUAUAUAAUAUUAAUGUAUUUGAUUUGAUAUUUAAUAGUAUAUAUAUAACUAAUUUUUUUUAUUAUUUUAAUAUAGUUUGAAUGGACACCAUACAAGGAUCUGACAAUUCGACAAUGCAUCCCAUCCGAAAUCCUGGUGAAUCCCAACAUUUGACAUGUAAAUGUGCCAUUGGUAGUGUACGCUAUUGUGUAUAUGCAUGAGUCGGAUAGGGUGUUGCAGCAAAUCGGGUUCAAACAAUCGAUUCUAGUGGUACCUUAGGACCUCGAUCAUCUGCAUCCUAUCAACUUGUGGGGGAGGUCGGAUGAGAAUUGAAUUAGAUUCCACAUUAAUAUAUAAACACAUGUGGAAUAAUCGGUAUGAGUUUCUACCUCAUCGCAAUGCUAUUAUCGCUCUAGAGUUAGCUUGCAGUUUGGAUUACAUGCCUUGAUUUAGGCUUUUUGGCAAGCCAUGCUUGUUGAGCGAAGAAUAUAGGAGUUGGCAAACGCAUACGAGGAGGCCACGACGACCGUCAACACAUCCAAGGUUUGGCGAGGCAGGUCCAUCGGUUGCACCUACUCAAGAGCCGACAUCGGUGCCCACACCACCCCUGAUCAGUAUGUGUAGUCCUAUUCUGAUUCGUAUGCGAACACCGUCAUUUUCACACAAGCACCAUAUAUUCAACCACAUUUUUCUGCUUUUACUUUGAUGUCAGGUUUUGUUUUCAAACCUUGGUCCCUAGUACAUUACACGUCGAUGCCAUCCAUAAUUCUGGCGACGAUGAUGCCGAUGACGACGUAUAGGCCAUCCAUGUUUCGACCACCGACCAAGAGUCCAAUUGUUAUGUCACCAAUGUACGAAACACAAUAUAGUUAUACCCCUACACUGAUGGUGAUGCAAACACCUCCAGGAUCAUUGUUCUAUCAAGGCGAAUCAUCUCCCCAACCACCUACUCCUAGAUCGGAGGAUGCACGAUGGCAACCAAGAAGCAACUAAUCGCAAUCAACUACGGAUGAAGGCGAAGAAGAGAAAAGGCCUAUACCACAACCUGUGUCAGAGGUUUAACCAGAGUUUGGAAAAUCGAUCGCAAUUGGGUUUGGAAAACGCAACGGAAAAUAAAUUUAGGAAAAAACCAGAGUUUUAAAAAAAAUCCAAAAUAAGAAUUUGGUUGUGAUAUCUAAAGUAAUAAACACUCAAUCAAAAUUGUACAAUUUUGAUUCGUCUAGGAUGAACGCUUCAACCUAGUAGUCUUCUCUAUUAUCCUUAAGCUCACGUCUGCCGAGUGUGGGCCCGCUUCGAAUAAAAAAAUUACAAAAAUUACUAGUGCAGUAAUUUCGUAAUUUCUCUAAACUUUUGGGCUAAGUUAUAAAUAAGAAAAAUACUCUAGAAAUUUUCUAAAAUAAUUUCUUUAGAGAAUUUUCUCUCUACAACUUUCUAUUGAAUUCAAGUGUGUGUAAAUAAUAACCCAAGACUAUCUUUAUAUAAGGAGGGUUUAGAGAGUUCAACUAUAAUUAAACUUAAUCACUUUAAUAUUAAUUUUAAUAUUAAAUUUUAAUUAAUAGAAUAUUUAUCUACAAGAUAAAUAUUAAAUUAAAUUUAAUAUUAAGAUAAUCACUUUGAUAUUAAAUUAAUAAAAUAUUAUUAAGAUAAGUAUCAAAUGAAAUUUAAUAUUAAAUCUAUUAAAAUAAUAUUAUUUUUUAAAUAGUUAAUCAAAAAUCAAAUUCUUUGGUAGAGUCUCAAUAGGAGUGUAAUUCUUCCAUUGCUUAACCACCGAAGAACCACUGCCGCUAACCAUUUUUUGGCCAUCGGAAUGCUGUCGUCGUAACCGUCGGCACCUGAGCUGGUUUGGUUUCUAUCGGUUCCGUACGGACCACUAACAGUCCGAUAGGUCCGAUCCAACCACCAGUUGGAUAUCAACUUAGUUUCACAUACCAGACCUGGUUCGACUAGUUUUUGGGUCUUAGUCUCGGUUUUGGGAUCCUAAGCCCAAUUUAUGAUCUCAGGUCUAAUAUUCAAGUUCAAUUACCCAUUGGGCCAAUUGUCUGACUUGAAAAAUUAAUUUUUCAAAAAUAUCAUAUUAAUUUUAAUUAAUUUGAUUGAUUUAAUUUUACUUGUUCAAAAUUAAUUUUCCCAAAAAUCACUUAGAUUUUCCAAAUUAAUUUUUCAAGAAAAUUCUUUAAUCAAAUUCUCUAGUUGAACAAUUCUUACGACCGUCCAACUUAAUUCCACAUCGAAUAAAUCGACUCAGUUAAAUUAUUUCCAAAGUCGUAGAAUUUACUUCUAAUUCAAAUGGAGUCCGAUUAAGCCUUUGUUGAGCUAGCGGAGGCACCAAUCGGACAUAUACAAUUAGGUUCUAGUAAUUGCAAUUAUGUCCAGAAGCAUCGUUCCUAUAAUUCACAAUUAUUUAAUAUGGAGUUAGGCCACAAAAAGUACCAUGAUUGAAAACUACUUAUUAUAUACUCUUUACGAAAGUAAUUCAUCCAACUACUUUGUCCAAUGACCUCGUCAUGUGUGUGUUACCCUCAUAUGAUAUCCUUGAUUCCUCUGAGUUAAAUUCAUUCACUCAAUACAAUCCUAUUUUAUCCCAUUGUUGCCAUCUGUCUUCUUAAUGAUUAACAUGAUCACUAUCAACAAAUGGAUGUGAUAAAUUGCUCAUUCAAGAACAAGCAACCCGUGGCCACAUUCCGUAUUUAUCAAUCCACACAAUGCUAAUGAGAGGAUAUCAUUAAUUCUUUAAUUGAGCUAUGAAUUUCACUGUUUCAAAAAGUAAAACCAUGCCAUACACAAGUCAUGUACCCAACAUAUCGGCUAUUGGUUCGAUCAUCUUUAGAGCAUAAGCCUCUACUUAUAUCAAAGCACAUGAGUUACAUAUGCAUGGUCAUUGACUAACUCAGGAUUUUGAUAAAUCAUAGCAUGAAUGUCACAAGUGAAUUAAUUCAAAAAUGAAUUCAGAAUUAAUUCAUCUUGGGUCUAGUUCAAUGUAUCAUUCUGCCAAUGAAUACAUUUAUGUCUCUACCCGUAGAGUCAACUACUCCGAUAGCCAAGACUAGUCAUCCCCUCAAUUGGAAUUAUAGACAACAUAAUAAUCAUUCUCAGUAUUUGAAUUAAAUAAUCACUUUGAUUCUUUUACGAAAUUACAAACUUGUUUAGAUUAUCUAGUGAAGUAAGUUGUCUUUCUCGUAAUGCAAAUGUUCUUACAAUGCCACUUAUCAUCAUUUUGAACUUAGACAAUCAAUGAGCUAAUUUUUGCUUGUUACAAAUUCGCUAUGCAUGCAAAAUAUGAAAGCCAGAAAUACAAAAUACAUAACAGUGAAAUGUGAAAUUUAUUUAUUCAAAUUCAUAGAAAAUAAUUACAUGUUUACUACAAUAUGUGCACAUUUCCCAACAAUUUCCCACUUGCUCUAGUGAAGUAAAUGUGUCAUAUUUCACAUUCCCAAAUCCUCAACGUGUUUGUUAAAACUCUUAGUUACAAGAGUCUUAGUAAAUAGAUCUAAAAGGUUAUCUUCAUAAGCUACUUUCACCACAUCUAUAAUUCCUUCGACUACUGCCUCUCAUAUCAAGUGAUACUUUUGAUAAAUGUGUUUAUUCCUCUUGUAACUUCUCAUUUCCUUAGUAUUAACUAUUGCAGCAUAGUUAUCACAAUACAGUGUUAUAACUUUUUCCAUACCAUGAAUAACUUCAAGAUCGGUUAAGAACUUUCAAAGCCAUAUUGCUUCUUUGUUGCUUCAGAAGUAGCCACAUACUCGGCCUCCAUAGUAGAGUCAGUAGCACAAGUUUGUAUUACACUUCUCCAUACUAUGGCUCUACGGCCUAAGAUGAAUAUAUUUUUUUAUGUUGAUUUCCUCGCAUCUUUAUAGGUUUGGAAGUCUAAGUUUGUGUAUCUGAUAGGAGUAAAGUUCUCCCUAGAAUAUAUAAACAUAUAGUCUUUGGUUCUUUUAAGAUACCUUAAUAUAUGCUUUCAGCUUGCCAAUGUUUGAAACCAGGAUUCGUCUGAUAUCGAGUAACCAUUCCCACUGCAAAACAAAUAUCUGGAUGUGUGGAAAGCAUCGCACACAUAAGGUUUCCAACUAUCGAAGCAUAUGGAACCCUACUCAUAUGGUCUCUUUCUUCUAUUACCUUAGGACAGUUAUCUAAAGAAAAAUGAAAACCUAAUGAGGUCGGCUGAGUGCCUAACUUCACAUCAAUCAUUGAAAAAUGUUUCAGUACCUUAUAGAUGUAUAAAGCUUGUGAUAGAGUUAUCGUUUUAUUCUUUCAAUCCCUAAGGAUUCGAAUUCGAAGAACAUAACUAGCUUCACCCAUGUCCUUUAUGUUAAUUGUUGAGCUAACCACAGUUUAACUGAUGACAAUUCUCUUACAUUAUUUCAUACAUUAAUAUAAACUUAACAAAAAUUAUUCAUUCACAUACACAUCAUCCCUAAAUUGAUCCUCUGAGGCCAUAAAAUACAUUAAAAAAAUUCGAGACUAAAUUGGAAACAUUUCAAAAGUUCAAGAAAAAGUUAGAAAAAUUUAACUGUAGGGGUUACAUGGCUGUGUGCCUUACACGACUGUGACACACGCCCGUGUCUCAGACCAUGUAAUAAUCAAAAUAGGGACACACUGCUGUGUCUCAGCCUUUGUCCUUACCCGUAUAACUCUCUAAGUAGGGUUACACGGCCAAAUCACACGACCAAAUCACAUGCCUGUGUGCUAUGUUGUGUAACUCUCGAAAUAGCCCCACAAGCCCGUGUGUCAAGCCGUGUGUUAGGCCGAGUAACUUUCUGACUUGAAUGCAAUUGAACCUAAAGGGGACACACAGCCAUGUCGCCAGGCCAUGUGUCAAACACGGUUGAGUCACACGCUCGUGUCUCAAGCCGUAUGGACAUGAAUUUGCCAAAAAAAGCCAUUUCCAUCACCAUAUCAAGCAUAUACCUAAAAACAUCUUGUGCACAUAAUCAAGACAUCAAAACCUUACCAAAACAUGCAUAUAGUAACCAAAAACUUAGUAGAGUCAAAAGGUAUUUUCUUAUCUGACACUAAAGUUGUGCAUAUAUAUGAGUGCAUUGACCCAGGGUCAAUCAAAGCAUCAACAUUAGUAUCAAAAAUAAAAAAUGUACCAGUGAUAACAACUGGCGCUGAAGCUUCCUCUCGAGCACAGAUCGCAUAAGCUUUAGUCGACACUGGUGCCUCAAAUCUCACAGUAGAGCCUUUCGUUCCACUACGACUAUUACCCCCUCUCGAGCACGGAUCGCAUGAGCUUUAGUCGACACUGGUGCCUCAGAUCUCACAGCAGAGUCUUUCGUUCCACUACGACUAUUACCCGCAUUACCAGUGUUUCGGGCUGGUCUCCUUCUCGAAGCUGUAUUACUCAGUCGAGUAGUCUGAGCCUUUUCUUUGUCGGACCUUUCAAGGUAAUCCUUGAGAUAUUUUUAUAUGAACCACAUUUAGAACAUUACUCGUCUUUCAAUCUGCAUUCACCAAAGUGUCGUUUAUUACAUUACUGAUAUUCGGGCUUGUUGUUUCUGAUAUUGCCCACACUUGUUGUAGACGUAGCCUGAGGUUUUGAGCUCGAAUGCUAAUUUCCUUAAUCUUUCUCAGAAUAAUCCACUGAAGCUGAUGAACGACCAUGAUAUUCUUUCAACUUCUUCGAUGGCGAUGGGUAUGACUUUUCCAUAGGGCUCUUUCCCGAGUUAUGAGCCUCCUCGACUUUUCUUUUCGCUUUGCUAAGUUCUUCAGCUUUAUGCACUUUGCCAACUAGAACUACAAAUUCUUUCAUCUCAAGGAUCCCGAAUAACACCUUAAUAUCUUUGUUUAACUUGUCUUCAAACCUUGUGCACAUAGCAAACUCUGUAGGUAUACAUUCUUUGGCAUACUUACUGAGUCGAACAAAUUCCCUCUCAUACUCUAAUACAGUCAUACGACCUUGUUUCAACUCAAGGAAUUCUUUACGUUUCUUGUCUAAAAAUAUCUCGCUCACAUAUUUCUUUCGAAAUUCAGUCUAAAAGAAUUCCCAGUUUACUUGAUCUCUCGGCACAACUGCAACUAAGGUGUUCCACCACUGAUAAGCCGAAUCUUUCAAUAAUGAAACAACACAUUUCAAGUAUUUCGUAGGAGUACAUGAUAAUUCAUCGAAAACUUUCACCGUGCUUUCUAACAAAAAUAGGCUCUCUUUGGAUCAUCUUCAGUUGUUCCUCGAAACUCUUAAGCCCUAUACUUACGAAUUUUAUCAACUAGAGGCUUGCUCACCCGAACUAGUUCCAAACCCUGAGGAACUACGAGGAUCGAUUGGGGUACAGGUGGGGGUGGAGGUCGUUAAGCCAUUGAUUUCAUUCGAAUAAACUCGAAGAAGCAUUCAGACAUCAUCUGGAGGAAAACUUCUUUAGCCUCUCCUCCCCAGCCCUCAGAUUUGAGCCUAUUACCACUAGACGCUGCUCCAUGAACGGAGGUUCGCGUGUUACUUUCUAUUUCAUUGGAAUCAGCUUGAUUGGAUGGCAUUUUAUCUAUAUGAAAACAUAGUUCAAAUAUAGUUAGGAGUUAUCACACUAUUACAGGUUAUAUAAAGGCAUGUAUUUCUAGACUCAUACACGCUACUUUAGUGCGAGAACCGACUAUGCUGUAGCUUUGAUACCAUUAAAUGUAACACCUCUAACCUGUAUCUAUUGCCAAAUUAGGGUUACAGAGCACUACUGUACAAAUGGAACAUUACAACAUACAUUUCAUAUAUUUAUAUAAACUUAACAAAAAUUAUUCAUUCAUUUACACAUCGUCCCUAAAUUGAGCCCUCGAGACCCUAAACAUACAUUAAAACUAAUUUGGGACUAAAUUGGAAGCAUUAGGAAAGUUCAAGAAAAAGUUAGAAAAAAUUGACUGCAGGGGUCACACGUCCAUGUACCUCACACGACUGAGACACACGCCCAUGUCUCAGGCCGUGUAACUCUCAAAAUAGCCCCAAAAACUUGUGCGCCAAGCCGUGUGCUAGGCUGUGUAACUGCCUGACUUGUUUGCAAUGGAACCUAAAUGGGAGACAUGGCCAUGUCGCCACACCACGUGUUACAUACGGUUGAGUCAAACGCCCGUGUCUCAGGCUGUGUGGACAUGAAUUUGCCCCAAAACAGGUAAUUUCCAUCACCAAAUCAAGCAUAUACCUAAAAACAUUUUGUGCACAUAAUCAAGACAUCAAAACCUUACCAAAACAUGCAUAUAGUGACCAUUUCAAUAGCCUUAAACCAAUCAACCAAUAUGCCAUUUCAAGGCACCUCACAAGCAAACACCAAAGCAUACCUAAGCAUUCACAUUUGGUCACAUUUCCACCAUCAAACAUAAUUCAUCUUCCAACAAAUUAUACCACAAUUAUGACCAUUAGCAUUUCAACAUAAACUUACCAUUUGAGGCAUACCAUUCAUGCAUCAUAAGUACCAAAAUGACACAAUCCAACCAACAUCAAAUUGUACCAACACUAUACAUGCCAAAAUAUCAACUAACAUUCAACUAGAUACCAAUACAAGUCCACCUAUACAUGCCAUUAUAGCCUUGGCCAAAACAUCAUAAAUUAUUGAUAUGUAUGCUGGAUAGUGUGAUAGAUCUCCGACGAGCUUCCAAACCGAUAUAGCUUCCGAUUAUCUAUAAAACAAGAGAAAAAAACUACGUAAGCAAAUAAUGCUUAGUAAGUUCGUAAAACAUGAAACAUAAUUUACCAUUUCCUUAUAUAACAUUAAGUACAAGCAUAAUGCAAUGCAACACAAGCUUGGCACAAGCCUAAGCACCAUCAUCAAUACACAAGUUAGUGUAUAUAUACAUAAUUCAAUUGAAUUUAACAUAUGGUAAUUCAUUUCCAUGGAAACAUACACCAUUUGAUUCAUUCUUCGUUUUCAUGAACAUAAGCAUACUUCCAUUUGGAACUUACCAUUUCAAUCCUUUUCAUAAAUACAUGAUAUAGUUCAUUUUGAACACUUAUCGUUCCUUUUCUUUCUAUGCCCGUUGAACCAUUUAGAAUAUCAUCGGAUACACAGGAAAACUCACAUGAAGUGUGCUUAAACAUAUAACCAUAAUCUUUCCUUUACAUUGUUGCUCACACGAGCUAUGAAAUAGGCCUACUCACACGAGCUAUGGGUCGAAAUGUAAGCUACACGAUGCUGCUCACACGAGAUUUGGAGUAUCUACAACAAAUGUAGGACCUCAACCAUCGGUAGGAUAUUCAAGACCAACACCCGAACAUGAGAACCCUAAUGACAUGUCAUUUGUAUCCUACGAAUUCCUAAGGUUCAACCAGGACUCGAUAACCGUCGUAGCAUGAUUUUGGAUAUACAUUGUUCAAUAGCAUUCUUAAUACAUAAUAACAUAUAAUUAAACAACAUGAACAUAACAAUCCGUACAUACGAACUUACCUCGACGACUAAGGCGUAAAAACGGGAUCGACUAAUCCGAGGCUUUAGCUUUUCCCCGAUCUAGAUCUGUUGUGGCCUAUCUUGAUCUAAAUAAAAAAUAUAAUUCAUUUAAUAUCCCUAGCAUUCAAUUUAGUCCAUAUUUCAUAUUUUUCCAAAAUUACUAUUUUACCCCUAAUAUUUUAACUUUUUACAAUUUAGUCCUUAAGCUCAUAAAUUAAAAUCUAAGCAUUUUCAUCCUUUUCUCAAGCUAGACAAUUUAUCCAGGGACCUAUAUCAACUCAUACAAACCAUUAUUUCAUAGAUUUAACUUGAAAUUUUAUCUUUUUUACAAAUAAGUCCCUAAAUAAAAUUUUCAUCAAAAAUCACUUUACAAAACUUGUUUAUUUAUGAACAAGGACUCAUAAUCUACCAUUAAACAUCAAGAAUCAUACAAGAAAAUUCAUGAAAAAACCCUAAAUCUUUAACAGUUUUGCAAAUUGAUCCUUGGGCUAGCUAAGUUAAGCUACAACGAUCCCAAAAACAUAAAAAUCAUUAAAAACAAGCUCAAAAAUCACUUACAUGCAAUAAUUGAACAUAGCCGAACCUUCAAGGUGAAAAAUAGAGGUUUUCCUUCUUUAAUUUCGGUGGAAACAUGAACUAAAGAAGAUGAUACUUUUAUUUUAUGUUAUUUUUCUUUACUUAAUUAUUAUAUUACCUUAAUAACCUUGUUAAUUAACUAAAUAAAACUCCUAAUUCAUGCCCAUCUUUGUCCACUAACAUUAUGAAUGAUCUAAUUACCAUCUAAGUCCACUCACAUUUAAAUUUCAUAGCCAUUUGACCCUUUUUACUAAUAGAACUCAAUUUUUGCACAUUUAUGAUUUAGUCAUUUUCACUUAAUUAAGCAUGCAAACAUCGAAAUUUCGUAACGAAAUUUUUAUAUUACCUUAUUAACAUUCUAUAUACAUUAAAAAUAAUAAUUUACUUGUCAGAUUUGUGGUCACUAAAUUACAAUUUCGAUUUCACUGAAAACAGGUUGUUACAACUCUCCCCCUAAAAGAAUUUUCGUCCCCGAAAAUCUUACCAGAAAAGAGGUUUGGGUAUUGCACUUUCAUAAUUUCUUCCAGUUCCCAGGUACCUUCCUCUAAACCUUGACAUUUCCAGAGAACUUUUACUAAAUCUAUUUAUUUCUCAGUUCUUUAACUUCCCAAGCUAAAAUUCUGAUCGGUUCUUCACUGUACGUCAUAUUUGGCUGUAUCUCAACAUCAACAGGUGAAAUCACGUGUGCAGAAUCUGAUUGAUACCAUCGUAACAUCGAAACAUGGAAUACAUUGUGAAUCUUUUCUAACUUUAACGGCAAAGAUAAUCUAUAAGCUAUUGGUCCAAUUUUUUCUAUGAUCCCAUACGGCCCAAUAAAUCGUGGACAAAGCUUUCCUUUUCGACUGAAUUGAAGAACUUUCUUCCAAGGCGAUACUUUUAGAAAUAAUCUGUCGCUUACUUGAAAUUCAAUGUCUUUUCUUUUCAAAUCUACGUAAGAUUUUUGUCGAUCCGAAAUUGUUUUCAGGCUAUCACAUAUCACUUUAACCUUUUCUUGAGUUUCUCAAAUUAAAUCAAUCUUGAAUAACUUUUUCUCACUCAGAUCAGUCCAGUAUAAAGGAGUUCGACACUUCCAACCAUACAAAGCUUCGUAUGGUGCCAUUUUAAUACUCACUUGAUAACUGUUAUUGUAUGCAAAUUCAACUAACGACAGAAAUCUCUCCCAGUUACCUUCGAACUAUAAAACACAACAUCGUAGCAUAUCUUUGAGUAUCUGAAUCACUCACUCAGAUUGACCAUUUGUUUAGGGAUGAAAUGUUGUAUAAAAUACAGUUAAGUACUAAGAGCUUCGUGUAACUUGCUCCAGAAUCGAGACGUAAACCGCAAAUCUCUUUCAGAAAUAAUAGAAUCUGGCACACCGUGCUAUCUAACAAUCUCAGUAACAUAUAACUUUGCCAAUCUCUCGAGUGAAAAAUCUAUACGCACCGGAAUGAAAUGCGUGGACUUCGUCAAACAAUCAAUAGUGACCCAUACAACAUAUUUCUUUCUCAGAGAUAGAGACAAACCCGAUACGAAAUCCAUCGUGACACAUUCCUAUUUCCACUUUGGAAUCAUCACAGGUUGUAACAAACUAGAAGGUACCUGAUGUUCAACUUUAACUUGCUAACAAACCAAACAUUUCGGUACGAACUCUAAAAUGUCUUGUUUCAUACCUGACCACCAAUAUAUGUGUUUCAAAUUGCCAUACAUUUUAUUGCUACCAAGAUGAAUAGACAAGCUAUUACUGUGAGCUUCCUGUAAAAUUUUCUGAAUAAGAUCAGAAUUUCUCGAAACACAAAUUCUGCCUUUGAAGUACAAAUUGUCAUCAGAACCAACAUGAAAAUUUGAUUCAGGUGUCAUCUCAAUCUAUUUCUAUUUAGUGAUCAAAACAUCGUCACAUUUCCGAGCUUCACAAAUCUGUUGCAGAAACAUCGGUCUAGCUUUUAAUUCUGCCAAAAUUGAUUCAUCAUCAAUCAACGUCAAUCGUGUGUUCAAUGCUCGUAAAGCAAACAUGGAUUUUCUACUCAAUGCAUCAGCAACAACAUUAGCCUUUCCCGGAUGAUAAUAAUGAUCAAGUCGUAAUCUUUCAAUAAAUCGAGCCAUCUGUGUUGUCUUAAAUUCAAAUCCUUUUGUGACAUCAAAUACUUUAGGCUUUUAUAGUCCGUGAAAAUAUGACAUUUUUCUUCGUACAAAUGGUGUUGCUAGAUCUUCAAAGCAAACAUAAUGGCUACAAGCUCUAAAUCAUGAGUCGAAUAAUUCUUUUCAUGCAGUUUCAACUGUCUAGAAGCAUACACUAUUACUUUGUCUUCUUGUAUCAAAACACAACUUAAACCAUUCAAUGAAGCAUCGCUAUAAAUCACAAAUUCUUUACCGAACUCUGGCUGAACCAACAUAGGUGCCUCGGUUAAUAAAGUUUUCAACUGAUUAAAACUGUGCUGACAUUUCUCAAACCAUUCGAAUUUAACAUCUUUUUACAACAAUCUCGUCAACGGCAUAGCAAUCAUCGAGAAUCUCUUGACGAACCUUCUAUAAUAUCUGGCUAAACCCAGAAAACUUCUGACUUCAGAUACAUUUCUCAGAGGUUUCCAGUCUACCACAGCUGAAAUUUUACUUGGAUCAACUCUAAUACCAUCUGCUGAUACCACAAGUCCCAAAAAUCCUACUUCUCGGAGCCCGAACUCGCAUUUGUUGAACUUAGCGAGUAGUUGUUUUUCGCGUAAGGUUUGUAAAACAGUUCUCAAAUGUUGGGCAUGUUCUAUCUCAUCUCGUGAAUAGAUCAGGAUGUCAUCAAUAAACACAACAAAAAAUCUAUCUAAAUAUGGUCUGAAUAUUCUAUUCACCAAGUCCAUAAACACGGUAGGUACAUUAAUCAAACCAAAUGGCAUCAUAAGAAACUCAUAAUGUCCGUACUUAGUUCUAAAUAUUGUUGUCGACAUAUCAGACUCUUUAACCCGUAACUGAUAAUAACCAGGAUGAAGAUCGAUCUUUGUUAAUACCGUCGCACCUUUCAAUUGAUCAAACAAAUCAUAAAUAUGUGGUAAUGGAUACUUGUUCUUGAUCAUGACUUUGUUGAGCUGUUGAUGAUCAAUACAUAGUUGCAUGGAUCUGUCCUUUUUCUUGACAAAUAACACAGGACGUCCCCAAGGAGAAAAACUGGGCUGAGCAAAGCCCCUAUCUGAUAACUCUUGCAACUGAGCUUUCAAAUCUUUUAAUUUUAUAGGUGUCAUUCUAUAUGGAGCUAUCGAGAUCUGAGAUAUUCCAGACAUUAAUUCAAUAGCAAACUCAACUUUUUUGGUCGGUGGUAACCCUGGUAAUUCUUUUGGAAACACGUCUACAUACUGACAUACAAUUGGAACUGAUUCUAACUUAAAUUCUGAAACUCCAGAAUCAAAUAUAUAAGCGAGAUACGUUUCAAAGCCUUUUCUAACAUGUUUUUGUGCCGACAUAACCAAAAUAACAUCAAAUGCACUAUAUAAUAUGUCUGAUUCAAUUCGAAGCUUUUCAUCAUUCUGACAUUUUAACACAAUAUACUUUCGUCUAUAGUUCAAAACAACAUCAAGCAGAGUUAACUAGUCCAUACCCAGAAUCACAUCAAACUCAUCAAAGCGUAGUAACAUCAAAUUAGCCGGAAAGUUGCAACCCCGAAUAAUCAAAUGGCAGUUUUUAAAGACUUUAUCAGCUAACACAAACUGACCUAAAGGGUUCAUUACUUUAACCAAAAACUCAGUAGAAGGUAUUUUAUUAUUUGAAACUAAGGUUGUGCAUACAUAUUAGUGCGUUGACCCAGGUUCAAUCAAAGCAUUAACAAUAGUAUCAAAGAUAGAAAAUGUACUAGCGAUAACAUCUGGUGCUGAAGCUUCCUGUCGAGCAUGGAUUGCAUAAGCUCUAGUCAGCGUUGGUGCCUCAAAUCUCAUAGUAGAAUAUUUCGUCCCACUACGACUAUUACCCGUAUUACCAGUGUUCCAGGGUGGUGGUCGUCCUCUCGCAGUUGUAUUACUCGGUUGAGUAGUCUUAGCCUUUUUUUUGUCGAAAUUUUCAAGCCAAUCUCUAAGAUAAUUUUCAUACGAACCACAUUUAAAACAUGAAUCAUCUUUCAAUCUACAUUCAUCAAAGUUUUGUCUAUUACAUUGCUGAUAUUUGGGCUUGUUAUUUCUGACACUGCCUACACUUGCUGCAAACGUAGCCUAAGGUUUCGAGCUCGAAUGCUAAUUUCCUCAAUCUUUCCCAGAAUUAACCUCUAAAGCUAACGAACGACCAUGAUAUUCUUUCGACUUCUUUGAUGGUGAUGAGUAUGACUUUUCUAUAGGCUUCUUUCCAGAGUCAUGAGCCUCAUUGACUUUUCUUUUCACUUUGCUAAGUUCUUCAGCUUUCUGCGCUUUUUCAACCAGAACUACAAAUUCUUUCAACUCAAGGAUCCCUAUUAAUAGCUUGAUAUCUUCGUUUAACUAGUCUUCAAACCUUGUGCACAUAGCAACCUCUAUAAGUAUAUAUUCUCGGGCAUACUUACUGAGUCGAACAAAUUCCCUCUCAUACUCUACUACAGAUAUACAACCUUGUUUCAACUCAAGGAAUUCUUUACGUUUCUUGUCUAAAAACAUCUCGCUCACAUAUUUCUUUCAGAAUUUAGUCUAAAAGAAUUAUCAGUUUACUUGAUCUCUCGGCACAAAUACAACUAAGCUUUUCCACCACUAAUAAGCUGAGUCUUUUAAUAAUGAAACAACACAUUUCAAGUAUUUCGUAGGAGUACAUGAUAAUUCAUUGAAAACGUUCACCGUGUUUUCUAACAAAACUCGGCUCUCUUUGGAUCAUCUUCAACUAUUUUUCGGAACUCUUAAGUCCCAUACUUAUGAAUUUUAUCAACUGGAGGCUUGCUCGCCCGAACUAGUUCCAACCCUGAGGAACUAACGGGAUCAGUUGGGGUACAGGUGGGGGUGGAGGUCAUUGAGGCAUUGGGUUUGGUCGCACAAUCUUGGAGAACCAUUCAGACAUAAUCUGGGGGAAGGCUUCCUUAGCCUUUCCUCCCCAACCCUCAGAUACAGGCCUAUUACCACUAGACGCUGCUCCGUGAACGGAGGCUUGCGCGUUACUUUCUACUUCAUCGGAAUCAGUUUAAUUUGAUGACAUUUUAUCUAUUUGAAAACAUAGUCUGAGAACCGACUAAACUGUAGCUCUAAUAAUACUAAAUGUAACACCCCAAACCCGUAUCCAUCGUCGGAUUAGGGCUACGAAGCAUUACUAUACAAAUAAAACAUUAUAACAUACAUUUCAUACAUUAAUAUAAAUUUAACAAAAAAUAUUCAUUCACAUACACAUCAUCUCUAAAUCGUGCUGCCAAGGCCCUAAAAAUACAUUAAAAAAUUUGGGACUAAAUUUGAAGCAUUUGGAAAGUUCAAGAAAAAGUUAGAAAAAUUUGACUGUAGGGGUCACACGACCAUGUGCCUCACACGACUGAGACAUACGCCUGUGUCUCAAGCUGUGUAACAAUUGAAAUAAGGACACACAGCCGUGUCCUUACCCAUGUAACUUUCUGAGUAGGGUCACACGGCUGAGACACACACCUGUGUGCCAGGCCAUGUGCUAGGCCGUCUAACUCCCUGACUUGUAUGCAAUAGAACCUAAAGGGGACACACGGCCAUGUUGCCAGGCCGUGUGUCACACAUGGCUAAGUCACAUGUCUGUGUCUCAGGCCGUAUAGACAUGAAUUUUCCCACAAACAAGCCAUUUCCAUCACCAAAUCAAGGAAACACAUAAUCAAGACAUCAAAACCUUACCAAAACAUGUAUAUUCAAUAGCUUUAAACCAUUAAACCAAUAUGCCAUUUCAAGGCACCUCACAAGCAAACACUAAACUUACACAUUUGAUCACAUUUCCACAAUCAAACAUAGUUCAUCUUCCUACAAAUCAUACCAUAAUUAUGACCAUUAGCAUUUCAACAUAAACUUACCGUUUGAGUCAUACCCUUGAUGCAUCAUAAGUACCAAAGUGACACAAUCCAACCAACAUCAAAUGGUACCAACACAACUUAUACAUGCCAAAAUCAUCAACUAACAUUCAACUAGAUACCAAUACAAGUCCACAUAUACAUGCGAUUAUAACCUUGGCCAAAAUAUAAAAAACUACCGAUAUUUAUGCUUAGUAUGAUUGAUCUCCGACAAGCUUCUAAACCGAUCGAGCUUCCGAUUAUUUAUAAAACAUGGGAAAGAAAACUAUAUAAGCACAUAAUGCUUAGUAAGUUCGUAAAACAUGGAACAUAACUUACCAUUUCCUUAUAUAACAUUAAGUACAAGUAUAAUGCAAUGCAACACAAGCUUGGCACAAGCCUAAUCACCAUCAUCAAUACACAAGUUAGUGCAUAUAUACAUAAUUCAAUUGAAUUUAACAUAUGGUAAUCCAUUUCCAUAGAAAUAUACAUCAUUUGAUUCAUUCUUCAUUUUCAUGAACAUAAGCACACUUCUAUUUGGAAACUUACCAUUUCAAUCCUUUUCUUAAAUACAUGAUAUAGUUCAUUUUGAACACUUACCGUUCCUUUCCUUUUCAUGCCCGUUGAACCAUUUAGAAUAUCUUCAGAUACACGGGAAAGCUCACACGAAUUGUGCUUAAACAUAUAAUCAUAACCUUUCCUUUACAUUGUUACUCACACGAGCUGUGAAAUAGGCCUGCUUGUACGAAUUGUGAAAUGAGAUUGCUCACACGAGUUGUGGGUCGAAAUGUAUGCUAGACGAUGUUGCUUACACAAGCUGUGGAGUAUCUAAAACAAAUGCAGGACCUCUGUUUUGGUAUGACAUUCAAGACUAGCACCUAAACAUGAAAAUCCUAAUGUCAUGUCAUUUGUAUCCUUUGAAUUCUUAAAGUUCAACUGGGACUCGAUAACCGUCGUAGCAUGAUUUUGGAUAUACAUUGUUCAAUAGCAUUUUUAAUACAUAAUAACAUAUAAUUAGACAUCAUGAACAUAAUAAUCCGUACAUACAAAACCUCGACGAGUAGGGCGUAAAAACGGGAUCUACUAAUCUGAGGCUUUAGCUUUUCCCCGAUCUCGAUCCGUUCGUGGCCUAUCUUGAUCUAAAUAGAAAAUAUAAUUCAUUAAAUUUCCCUAGCAUACAAUUUAGUCCAUAUUUCAUAUUUAUACAAAAUUACUAUUUUUCCCUUAACAUUUUAACUUUUUACAAUUUAGUCCUUAAGCUGAUAAAUUAAAAUCUAAGCUUUUUCAUCAUUUUCUCAAGUUAGCCGAUUUCUUUAGGGACCUAUAUCAACUCAUACAAACCAUCAUUUCAUAGAUUUAACUUGAAAUUUUAUCUUUUUUUACAAAUAAGUCCCUAAUUACAAUUUUCAUAAAAAAAUCACCUUAUAAAACUUGUUUAUUUAUGAACAAGAACUCAUAAUCUACCAUUAAACAUAAAGAAUAAUGCACGAACAUUCAUGGAAAAACCCUAAAUCUUUAACAAUUUUACAAAUUGAUCCUCGAGAUAGCUAAGUUAAGCUACAAAGAUCUCAAAAACAUAAAAAUCAUUAAAAACGAGGUAAAAAUCACUUAAAUGCAGUACUUGAACAUAGCCAAACCUUCAAGAUGAAAAAUGGAUGUUUUCCUUCUUUAAUUUCGAUGGAAACAUGAACUAAAGAAGAUGAUACUUUUAUUUUAUGUUAUUUUUCUUUACUUAAUUAUUAAAUUACCUUAAUAACCUUGUUAAUUAACUAAAUAAAACACCUAAUUCAUGCCCAUCCUUUUUCACUAACAUUAUGAAUGGUCUAAUUACCAUUUAAGUCCAGUCACAUUUAAUUUUUGUAGCCAUUUGACCCUUUUUACUAAUAGAACUCCAUUUUUUCACCUUUUAUGAUUUAGUCCUUUUCACUUAAUUAAGCAUGCAAACAUUGAAAUUUAUUGACAAAAAUUUUAUACAACCUUACUAACAUUCCAUAAACAUUAAAAAUAAUUAUAAAAUAAUAAUUUACUUGUCGAAUUUGUGGUCUCAAAACCACUGUUCUGAUUUCACUAGGAACGGGCUGUUACAAAGAUAGUCAUUAAUAAAUGUUGUCUUGAUAUCCAUUUGCUAGAUCUCGUAAUCAAGAGCAGCGGCAAUGGAUAAGAGUAUGUGAAUAGAAUUGAAAAUGGCUACCAGAGAGAAUGUCUCAUCGUAAUCGAUGCCUUCUUGCUAUGUGUAGUAUUUCCCUACAAGUCUAGCUUUAUGUGUUUCCACUUCCCCUUCCGCAUUUCUCUUCUUCUUGUAGAUUUGCUUACACCCUAGAAGUUUUAAUCCCAACCAGUAAGUCUACAAGUUCCCACACCAUAUUGGAUUUCAUAGAAUCCAUCUCGACAUCCAUGGUUGUUUUUAGAUAUUGAAAUCAAUGUUCUGCAUAGCCUCAUCGUAAGUGAGUAGAUCAUUAUCCUCAUGAUUGACUUCUAUAUUAUAAAUACUACCAUCAUAGGUGAAGAAGUCUAAUUUCUUAAAAGUUCUCCAACUACGACGGAUUCCCCUAUGUUGUUGAUUGUUUGCAGGUCGUUCUACAACUAUCUCGAGAAUUAAACUUUGUUAUUGUUCUACAACUCCUCGAGUACCACUUUACUUCGAGCCUUAAAGUUAUCCAUGUAGCUUUCUUCGAGGAAAAUAGCAUGAGUAGAAACUUUGAUCGUAUUAUCAUUUAGAUUGUAUAAUAAUUCACCCUUUGCUCAUUCUGGAUAUCUUAUAAACAUGCACAAUUCUUUCCGUGCAUCCAACUUCUCUGCAUCCUUAUCCAAAACGUGUGCUGGACAACCCUAUAUUCUAAAGUGAUUUAGAACUGAUUUCUUUUCAUGCCACAGUUUAUAAGGUGUCUUACAAGCAGACUUGGUUGGCACAUCAUUCAGACUAUAGCAAAUUAUUUAUAUCGCAUAUCCUUAGAAGGGAGUAAGGAGUUUUGAAUAGCUUAACAUUGAACGAACCAUGUUAAGCAAUGUUCUAUUCCUUCUCUCAGCUACACCAUUAUCCUGUGGAGUGCUUGACGUAGUCAACUGGGAUAAAAUCUCAUUCUCUAUGAGGUAUUCUAAGAACUCGUCAGACAAGUAUUCCCCACCUCGGUCAGAUUUAAGAUUCUUUAUGGAUAAACCUAAUUGCUUUUCCACUUUUGCACGAAACUCUCGAAAUUUAUCAAAUGCUUCACUUUUGUGGUUCAUUAGAUACACAUAUCCAUAUUGAGAAUAGUCUUAAAUGAAAGUCAAGUAAUAAUCAUAACUUCCUCAGGCACUGAUGCUCAUGGGACCACAUACAUUAGUGUGCACAAGUUCUAAAGGUUGGUUGGCCCUUGUACCUUUCGCAUUAGAAAACUACUUAGUCAUUUUUACCUUCCAAUCAAGAUUCACAUUGUGGAAGACUAACUUCCUUAAGCAUACUUAAGGGACCAUCUUUCAUGAUUCUAGUGAUUCUUUCUUGGUUAAUAUGACCAAAUCUUAAGUGGCAUAGGUAUCCCUCAUUAGAGUAAGACGUUUUAAGAUUUUAUUUUCCAUCCAUCCAUUACAAAUUAAAGAACAAUUUUUGUGAAUAAUAAUCCCUUUAUUAAAUGUCACUGUAUAACUUUCGUAAAAUAAACAUGCUACAAAUAAUAAAUUCCUCUUAAAAUAAGAUACAUAAAAUAUGUUUUUUAAAAUAAUCUUCCUAAAAUUAUCAAAAUGUAAAAUAACUUCUCUCACUACUUCAACUGAAACAUAGCUCCCAUCUCCAAUCUGCAAUGAGAGGCUCUUGUCACGUAAACAUCUCAUUUCACUGAACUCCCGUAAAGAAGCACAUACAUGGUUAAUGGCUCUAAAAUCAAUAAAUCAGUUGUCUAUUGAUUCUUCCCUUAAGCAAGUUUCAACCACAAAGAGUUCCAUACAUUUGCCAUUUUCGGCUAGGUAAAUCAAAUACUCUUUACAGUUUGCUUUGAAAUGCCCCGUAACACCCAUAUCCCGUCUCUGUUGCCGGAUUAUGGAUUGGAGUGUUAUAGAACCAAACCAAAACAAUUUAUCUUAAUUCCAUAACAAGUAUUCAAUGAAUUUAAAAACACAUAUCAUAUUAUAUCAUAUCAAUACAGAUCAUAUCAUAUAAUAAAUAUGCACAUGGGCCUUUUUUCGGGUUUACAAGGCCUUAAAAUUAGAUUAAAAAUAAUCAUAGAUCAAAUUGAGACAAAUUAUAAAUUUUUGAGAUAAACAUGAAAAUUUGAUAUGCAGGGGUCACAUGGCCAUGUGUCCAGACUGUGUGACAUAGCCCAAACUGUGUGGGAAUUCGAGGUUGGGACACACGGCCGUGUCCCAGCCUGUGUCUCUAUCUGUGUAACUCACUGACUUUGAUCACACGGUCAUGUCAUAGACCGUGUGUCAGGCCAUGUAACUCUCUAACUAAAUACACACGACCGUGUGCCAGAUCGUGUAUGGCACAUGGCCGUGUGGCAGCUCGUGUGCACCAAAAUGAACAUUAAACAUCAAGUUUACCAAAUCAUGCUUACUUGAACACUAAACAAUCCAAUUACUAGCCAUAACCUAUUCAAAACACAAUUAAACAUGCUCAAAACAUGCCAAAACAAUCAUCUUAAGUGCCUAACCAAUGUACCCUCUUUAGUACCACAUUUUAUAUUUUCUAAUAUAUUAAUAAAACAUUAAACUAAAAUAUAUACCAAAACAUUUAGAUAGGCUAACCUACCAAAACAUAGUCUCAAAAAUAAUGAAAAGACCUCCCUAUAUAUGUCAUUACAAAAUAAAGCAUCACACCAGAACUCUAAACCACAUCAUUCAACAAUUACAGAUCAAUGUAUUCAUCUAUGCAUUACAUAUAUAUACACCUGUUCCAUCAUUACAAAAUGUACUCUAGUAAAACACAGAUCUCACUCAUUAACUAAAUCUAUCAACAUUCUCAAAACUCAUAUAUUCAUCAAUAUAUACAUGCCACUACCCAAUUAAGAUGCAAAAGUACCGACUUAGAUGUGAGCUAGUUGAUUGAUCAUUCCAAAAAGUCAGCAACGAUUAUCUACAACACUUUCGAUUUAAUCACAGGGAUCUAUUCUAUAAUUUUCCUUUUUCCUCGAUUUAAGUCUUUCUGUCCCGGUUCUUGAUAUGCAAGCAAUGGAAAUGGCCAAACCUAACUUUAAAAGAAAUGGCUUUCUUCUCUUCUCAAAUUCAGCUAAGGAUGGUGGAAGAUGACAAUGUUUCUUUUCUUAUUAUUUUACUUUAGUUUUGUUUUAUUAUAUUACCAUUUUACCCUUAGAAUUAAGCUUAUAAUUUAACAACUAAAAAGGCCCUUAACUGUCUAUCCAAAAUCACAUGGACUAAUUACUUUAUAAGUCCUCUUUUAUUUGAUAGUUAAGCUAUCAAAUCAUUAUAAUUCAAUUAUGUCUAGAUUUUGAACAUUUUACAACUUAAUCAUUUUUCUUAAUUUAACUAAGUAAACAUUAAAAUUCUUUCACUGAAACUUAAUACGACCCUAAUGUAACUCCACAACAUUGAAUAAACCAUAAAACACAACUUCAUAUAUCGAUAUUUGUGGUCCCGAAACCACUAUUCCAUUACCACUAAACAACGGGAUAUUACAUGCCCUUUUCUAUUGCAGAAGAAACAUUAGAUCUUUUUAGGAUAUUUUGACUUCUUAGCCUUCUUCCUAUCCAUACGAGGUGGAAUCGAAGACUUAGUAGGUUUAUUCUUUCUUUUAGCUUUUUGCUUUCAUUUAGAGGAUGAAAGACCCACUGCUAAGUUUGCCUCAGGUUUCUCCUGAACUGACUUUCCACCAUUCAACAUCAACUAAUAGGAUGGUAAUUCCUUCAUGAGCUGAGUCAAGGUAAGCGCCUUGUUCCUUAAGUUAUAAGCAACCCUAAAACCAGCAAACUCCUUAGUUAAGGAUUUGAACACUAUUUCAAUCUGAGUGUUCACGUCUAGUUCAACCCCAUUGUCUUCCGCUUCCGCAAAGAUUCCCAUAAGCUUAAGCAUAUGUUUUUUGACUAGAGUGCUGGAUUUUUGUUGAGAGUUCAUCAUAUUUGUAAUAGCGGAUUCUCGAGCUAAUGCGACUUUGCCUCGGAGCAAAUCCUCCAAUUUUUUCAUAAUCUUUUUAGUAGUACGAAAAUUCUCAUGUUACUUUUGUAACACAUUACUCAUGCUUGUUAACACAUAACAUCGAGCAAACGAGUCAGAAUCUCUCCAACGAUUUCUCGCUUUGGGCUAAGCUUUAAAAGGGUACAUUUCGUCAAGAACGAAUUUGUGUUUCUCACAGCUAAGAACUAUUAGCAAGUUUCGUUUCUAUUCUCGAAAGUUAUCCCUAUCCAAUUUAUUUUUAGUAAGAAUGCUAAUAAGAGGAGUAAGAGACAUAUUUGAACUGAAAAAUAAAGAUUCACUAAUUACUAUCUUUGUAUUAAGCAAAUAUUUUCAUUUCAGAAACAUAUCAAGAAUGCAAUAUGAUGCAUGCGUCUUGUAUUAAAACCUUGAAAAACCAUUUUUCUGUUGCUACGAUCAUUCUCAUACCCAUCAACCAUGUCAUCUUGGGGUCCCAUGAUUAACUAGAAAGAAUACGAAUUACAUCCAUUUAGUUCGUGAAUCUUAAUUCUCAAGACUCCACACGAACCAAUGACCAUUUUUUUGGAUCGCCGGCACCCCUACGGUGCAGCACCCUAACCAUGGAUCCAUGUGUGAAGAACAAAUCGGGGUGAAAAGAUUACGAAAUUACCUAAUAUUUCGAUUGAGAAGACAGUAACUUCUCAACAAUGUGUAGUCUGAUCUACAGUCAAACCAAGUCACAAUCUAUUGAGACUCUGACCUCUACGUAAUCCACCCAGUUGACUACGAACGGAAGAAAAUUCCCAAAACAGUUUUGAGAGUUGUAUUUCUUUGACGGCUGCUAGACCUUAAAAAUAAUGAAAAACGGGAUUCUAAUAUAUCCCUUUUAUUUUUAGGGUUUUUUAGGAAUUAAAUAAAUAAAAUAAUAUUUUAAACCGAAAAUUAUAAUUACAUUAAUUAUAAUAUAAUUUCGGUAAACCAUAUAUUUAUUUAAAUUCAUAUGCUAAUCAAAUUCAUGUCCUCAUUAUGCGUACAACAACCUUGUACAUAAUGUGUUGGAGAUUUGAUUACUGAAUUAAAUUAAUUCUAUAAUUAAUUUAAUUCAAGUGACACCCAAAAAUAAAACCAACUAUGGUUUAUUCCGUUCAUUUCAACUAUAGGGUGUGACCCUGUAGGUUCCUGUAACGUUAGCAGUAAUACUAGAACGAUUCCAAUGUUACAAACAAUGAGUGGCAUCUAGCAAUGCAUCAUUGCUACCUAAGUCACAAGAGAUCAUGAUUCGACAUAACCUUUUAUGAUUAACCUUUUAUGCAAUAACCCUUAAGUCCUUUAUCUCUGGAUUGGACACAAGUCAUGGAAUAGUCACACUUGUAUAGUCCAUUCCAUGUUCCUUGAUAUCUUAAGCAGACUACGAUAUACAAAUAAGUAUGACAUCUCAUAUCAACUUAUUUGAGCAUGGCCAUGCAUUUCUAGUUUCACUUAAUCAAGUGGCCUAAGAUAUUACUCCCAUUAUGUAGGAGGGACUUAUUCUAUAUUGACCAACCAUAUCCCUCUACAUCGAUUGUGAUAUAUCCAACAUCAGCCUUUAUAGAACAACUAGUUACGGUGUACGUUUAACUGUAUCAAAAUAUACUACUCACGAUGUUGGGAUUAUGAUGAUCUCAAGUCUGAGGAUCAUAUACAUAUUAAUCACUAUGAGUAAUGUCGUGACAAUUACAUAAUAAUCCAAGAGACAUACUCAUAAUGGGUCAGUCCAAUAUGUUGUUCUCUAACACACAUAUUCAUGCAUCGAUUCUGACAUUCCAUAUCAAUGACAACUCUUUAUCAUCAAUCAACUACAUGUUAGUCUUAAUGCAUUAUCAUUGUCCUAUCCAACAAUAAUACUUGACUAAGGAUCUUUUAAGAAUAAUCAUAUUAUUCUUAGGACAUUAUUAUAAAACAGCUUAUUUAUACACACAGAAAAGAAACUUAAAUAAUAAUGGUAACGCCUUAUAUUAAUAAACAUGAUAAAUCAAGUAUGUUAUUACAACCAUCUCAUGAUUGGUCUUUGGGCAUACUCUAACACAUUUAACGUUUGGUCAUCAUCUCUAGCUUAAAUAUAAUUUUUGGGGAAACUAUUUAAUAAGAGAAUAUCUUGAGUGUGUAACCAUUGUCUCAACAUCCAUCAUGAACACACUUUCAUUUGUGAGUCAUCUUGGGACAAUCUCAUAGAGAGUCAUGCAUGACUAGUUUUCCUGAAAAGGAAAUCUCAUCCAGUGAAUUCACAUGAUAAAAUUUACAUUGGGGUGCGGCCAAGGUAGGAACCAACUCAAAAUUUUAUCAUGCUAUCACUUAGGGACCAUUAAUGGAGGUCAUAGGUCUUGUUCAAGAACUUUCUCCCACUCAAUAUUUUAAAAUAGCAUGCAAGGUUUUUUAUCCCAUAUGUCAAGAAUGAUCAUGCAAUAGUCCUAGUGGCAUUUUUACCUAAUCUAUAUGUCAUGCUUCCAAUAUAUGCAUGGUAUGCUAUAAAAAUUUUAUAAUAUUUACAUUCUUUUAUCACAAGAAUCAAUUAACCAAAAAACAAACAAUUUUGAUUCUCCACAGUUUUUGUUUUGAGGGAACAACAGGAGAAGUGAAUGUAAACCAUGCACUAGGUAGGGUCCUAGGAAAAAGAGGCGAGUCAAAUUUGACCGCUUAAAAACCAAGUAUUUCUUAGCUAGAAUCAUUCCUAGACAUGCACGUUCUCAUUACCACACUGCUCACAGUAAUCGAAUAACCUAAAGAAGUGACUAGAACAAUACAACACAAGUAUUUUCUCAUUAUCACACUUCUUAUUUUGUAUUCGAUCAACUACAGAUCAUCUCAUAUAUAUAUCACAAUUAUAACAUUACAUAAUAUAAAUAUUAGAAACAAUUAUAAAACAGUGUCCAUUAAUGUUUCUAUGGUUCUAUUUCCAGAAUAAAUGAAAAAAAAUAAAAUUACAUAAUUUUUCACCACAAGGCAUUCCUUGGGCCUUCAACUGGCAUCGCUCCAUCUUCUCCUCAUUAUGGACUUCUUUUGAAAAAAUUACAUUUAAGUCCUAUAUCUGUUUUCGGCUCACAAGAAUUCUAUGAACUAAAGAAAAAUUCUUAUGUGGAGAUGAUAGUCAACAGUCUAUUUCCUAAGAACCACAACCUUGGAAAACAAAAUUAUAUAACAAAUAUAUAAUAUUGCAUCCAUUCCCAUAUACAACUCAAAACAUGCAUAAGAUCUAAAGAAUAUCACUUUAUAUGUAAUCAAAUCAUUCAAGAAGAAGAGAAAUUUAUAUUGAUUAUCUGCUUAUACUUACAGAUAAAACACAACCUGACUCUAAUACCAAUUGUUGGAAAAUCGAGUUUAGAAAAUGCAAUGGAAAAUAAAUUUAGGGAAAAAUUAGUUUUAAAAAAAAACUCCAAAAAAGAACUUGGUUGUGAUAUCUACAGUAAUAAACACUUAAUCAAAAUUGUAUCUUUUCGAUUCGUCUAGGAUGAACGCUUCGACAUAGUAGUCUUCUCUGUUAUCCUCAAGCUCACGUUUUCCGAGUGUGGUCUUGCUUCGAAUCAAAAAUUUUUUCACAAAAGUACCAGUAGGAUAAUUUUUCAAUUUCUCUAAACUUUUGGGAUAAGUUGUAAAUAAAAAAUAUGUUUAGAAAUUUUCUUAAAUAAUUUCUUUAUAGAAUUUUCUCUCUACAACUUUCUCUUGAAUUCAAGUGUGUGAAAAUAAUGACCCAAGACUCUCUUUAUAUAAGGAGAGUUUAGAGAGUUCAACUAUGAUUAAACUUAAUCACUUUAAUAUUAAAUUUAACCUAAUAUUUAAUCAAGAUAAAUAUUAGUCUAAAUUUAAUAUUAAAUCUUAUUAAAUUAAUAGAAUAUUUAUCUACAAUAUAAACAUUAAAUUAAAUUUAAUAUUAAGAUAAUAACUUUAAUAUUAAAUUAAUAAAAUACUAUUAAUAAGUAUUACAUUAAAUUUAAUAUUAAAUAUAUUAAAAUAAUAUUAUUUCUGGAAUAGUUAAUCUGAAAUCAAAUUCUCUAGUAGAAUCCCAAUAGGAGUAUAAUUCUUCCACUACUCAACCACCGAAGAGAACCACCGUCGUUGACCAUAUUCCUACCACUGGAAUGUUGUCGUCAUAGCUGUCGAUGCCUCGAGUUGGUUCGAUUUCUAGCGGUUCGGUCCGAGCCAAUGAUAGCCAGAUCGGUCCGGUCCAAGCAGUUUUCACAUCCAAGCCCGGUUCGACUAGUUUUUGGGUCUUGGUCUUGAUUUUGGUCUCCCGAGCCCAAUUUACGAUAUCAGGUCCAAUUUUCAAGUUCAAUUACCCAUUGGUCCAACUGUUUGAGUUGAAAAUUAAUUUCUAAAAAUAUCAUAUUAAUUUUAUUAAUUUAAUUUUACUUGAUCAAAAUAAAUUUUUCCAAAAAUGAUUUAGAUUUUCCAAAUUAAUUUUGCAAGAAAAUUCUUUAAUCAAAUUCUUUAGUUGAACAAUUCUUACAACCGCCCAAUUUAUUUCAACAUCGAAUAAAUUGACUCAAUUAAAUUAUUUAUAAAGUCGUAAAAUUUACUUCUAAUUCAAAUGCAGUCCAGUUGAGCUUUUGUUGAGCUAGCAAACGGACCAAUCAAACAUAUACAAUUAGGAUUUAUUAAUUGUAAUUAUGUCCAGAAGCACCGUUCUGAUAAUUCACAAUUACAUAAUCAUGGAGCCAGUCCACAAUAAGUACUAUGAUUGAAAACUCAUUAUUGUAUACUCUUUACGAAAGUAAUUCAUCCAACUGUUUUGCCCAAUGACCUCAUCAUGUUUGCCUCAUAUGAUAUCCUUGAUUCCUUUGAGUUGAUGUGUUCUCGGGUUUGCUAAAUAGGCUGAAACCUAAGCUGCCAUUUCCAUCCUAUUUGGGACUAUGACGCAGGCUAAAGCUAAAGGAUUCAAAUAAGUAUUUGUGGGCUCUUAAGGCCCUAACCAUCCACUUUAUUUAUUUAAUUAAUUCCACAAUUUAUAAUUUUAAUUUUAUUUAAUAUGUGUCAUGAUUGUGUCGUUGUUAUUACAUUGUUUUAAAUAGAGUCUUAAGAAUGUCUAGUUUGCUACAUGUUUAAUGUGUCUUAAAAUAUGUUAUGGUGUCAUUAUUAUGUUCCAUUUUAUUACAACAUUGUUAUUAUGUUUAUUGUGUCCUAAUGGUGUGUUUAACGUGCCCUAGGGAAAUCUAAUGGCCUUCUUAAGAAGCUAAGGGAUUUUUCGCUUGGCUAAAAGAGAUCAAGCGCGUUCACACCUGUUCAAUUCAGCUUGAAAAGUGACCAUUCAACCAACAAGUGCUUCAUUAAGUGCCACUAUCCAAAUGAGGGCUGAACAUGGUUGUUGGAAACUUUUCUAGAAAAUGUCUAUUGGGUUUUUCCAUGCCUCAUAAAGCCGCCGUCCACCAAGGGGGAAGUAUAAGCCUUUUGAAGAAUUGCUUAGCCAUUUAGCAUGCUUGAAUUCUUCCCCAAUGUAAUUAAUGGCAACCUCUAUAUUCAAUGCUAAGAUGCAUGGACGACUAAGGUUAUGUACUUGAGUUUAAAGUAACAUUUCAUAUCUUUCACAUUAAGACCGAAUGUGGCCAUUAGCAUACCUAAGCUUAUAAAGAUUUUAGUCAUGUUAUUUUGUAAGGUUAGACAUCUUUGAAUCAAUAUUGUGAGAUUAUUCUCUUGUUCCUUAAGAACUUAUUUCUAACUUAUCAAGAAUUCAUUCUUGUGGCAUUCUCCCAUUUUUUAUCUUAUCACACCCCUUCUUAUCUUUCCGGAGUGUGGCAGUCAACCCUAUACCUUUGGUUCUUAUCUCUAUAUAGAUAGAGGGUCAAGGUUCUUCUUUUUUUCUAAGCUUCUUGAGUUUUAAACAACCAUAUAGAAAUCGGGUUGUGUUAUUUUAUAACGUUGGUUCAUUUUUGUUCAUUUUAAGUUCGUGAGUUAUAUCUUGUCAAGAACGAAUGGGAACUUAAUAAUCAUGACUCGUGAUUUCAAUACGUAACAAGGUUCAUGUCAUGAGUUAAAUCCGUUCACUCAAUAAAAUCCUAUUUUAUCCCAUUGUCACCAUUGUGUCUUUUUAAUGAUUAACAUGAUCACUGUUAACAAAUGGCUGUGAUAAAUUGCUCGUUCGAGAACAAGUAACCGUGGUCACGUUCCAUGUUUAUUAAUCCACACAACACCAAUGAGAGGAUAUCGUUAACUCUUUAAUUGAGCUAUAAAUUCCAUUAUUGCUAAUAAAGUCAUGCCAUACACAAGUCAUGUACCCAACAUACCAACUAACGGAUCGAUCAUCUUUACAACAUAAGCCUCCACUUAUAUCAAAGCACAUGAGUUACAUAUGCAUGGUCAUUGACUAACUCAAGAUUUUGUUAAAUCACACCAUAAAUGUCACAAGUGAAUUAAUUCAUCUUGGGUCCAAUCCAAUGUAUCAUUCUACCAAUGAAUACAUCUAUGUCUCUACUCGUGGAGUAAAUUGCUCUGAUAACCAGGACUAGUCAUCACCUCUAUUGGAAUUGUAGACGACAUAAUAAUCCUUCUCAGUAUUUGAAUCAAAUGCUCACUUUGAUUCUUUUAUGGGAUUACAGACUCUUUUAUAUUAUCUACUAAAGUAAGUUGUCUUUCUCGCCACGUAAACAUUUUUAUAAUUCAACUUAUAAUCAAUUUGAACUUAGAUAAUCAAUAAGUUAAUAUUUGUUUGUCACAAAUUCACUAUGCAUGCAAAAUAUGAAAGACAGAAAUACACAAGACAUAAUAGUAAAAUGUGAACUUUAUUUAUUCACCGUUCAAAUACAUAAAAAAUAAUUACAUGUUUACUACAAUAUGAGCACAUUUCCUAACACAACCAAGAAGGAAUUUGGCUCACGACCGUCGAACACCCGGAUGUGGCACACAUUUUGACACGGGAUAAUAGUUGAUUUACUUUAUUAUUGUACUUAUCAUGUUAACAUUUCAAUAAAUAUCAAACAUGUUUAUUGCAUCGAUGUCAAACAUCUUUAUUUUUUAAAAUAAAAAUAAUUGUUUCAUUAAAGUUGGCCUUUGUUAUAAAUUAUUAAUUUGUAUUGUAUAGCAAAAAUGUUUUUUUUUUGCAAAGUACAAUAAGUUGAUUACAAUAAACAAUUUAAUAGGUCUAUUCAUGAGGUGUUGUAAUUGUACCAUCCCUUCGGUGUGGACAUGAUGACAUUGUAUGCCUCGGAUGCCUUCACCACCCACAUAACGUUGGUUGGUGUGGCUUCUCUUGGAUAUCGAUGUUAUCGCAUAUCCAAGUGGACGUCGGUCGACCUUUUGGUUUGUGACAAAAUAAUCUAUCGGGUAACAACUUGAAUAGAGCGUUAGAUACAGAUGGCCACUUGCGUUCAUUAGGGACCUAUGGGAAUACAUUUCUCCACACGUUGUACAUGUUUACCUGUUUGUAGACUUCAUCCACAAAGCUUAUUAGAUCCAAACGUAGACUGCUACAUGCUACAAUUACAUGAGCACAUGGAAAUCGAAGUGCGUCAAAUCUCCCACAGUCACAGGUUCAAUAUCUGAGGUGUACAUGGUACGCUCCCCCAACAAUCUUUUGGUUGGGUCUUUCGAAUUCUAUUACCCAAAACCAUAAGUCUUCACGCGAGUGACACACUAGAUGCAUACAAUUCACUCGUGUUGUUGCCUUCCUAAUUUCUUUUAGUAUGUCCUCGCUCCAAACAUGGUCGCCCUGUAUCUGCCCAACAUAAUUCGCCGCUCGCUUUGGAAAAAUUUCAGCCAAACGGAAGUAUGUCACUUUGAUAACCGAGGUUACCAACAAAUGAUACGUUCUCUUCAAAGCAGAAUUGAUGCAUUCUGCCAGGUUUUUUGUCAUGUGCCCAAACCAUAGACCCUCAUCAUAGGAUUGUGUCCAUUGUUCAAAGGGUAUGUUACCGAGGUAGUCCGCCCCGUCAUCAUUAAUGGCCUGUAAGUUUCUCAGCAUUUCACAGAAACAGUCUUUGAAGAACUCAUACCCUAUCAACAAAAGUGAAUAAUAGUUUAUCCAUAAUGCCCAACAUUUUCUCACUGGUUAAAUAUCAAAGAAUAAUUAAUAGUAGCAAUUAUAUACCCAUGUUGAUCACUUGUGCUCAUGAGCAGUAGAGUCGUAUUAUCUAUGGUAAAUCGAUGAACAUGCCUUAGACAAUACCUAUGGUAUGUGUGGUCCCAAAGGCUUCCCUGUCGUCCAAAUAUGGCUAGAAUUUUAGGCCCUCAAUUUGAGAUGAUGCAAAUAUCGAGUUGGGGGAAAACAUGCCUCAUCAACUUAGAAAGGAAGAAUUCCAAUCAUCUGUUGGCUCUCCAAGCAUGAUUGCAAAGGCAAUCGGUAGGAUUUUUCAAUUAUCGUACUGUGCCACACCCAACAACAACCAAUGGGUAUAUCUCUCGUACAUAAAAGUACCUUCGUUUGUACAAGUGGCUUACAGUAUUGGAAUGCCUCUCGACAUUGCAUGAAAGUCCAAAACAAAUGUUUGAACACUCGGGAUCCAUGGAGCAACCGAUUGUUGUAGUACGCAACCUGAUACGUACAUCUUCAAGACCUGACACCACUGCCAUAUCUCAUUAUACGACGUAUUCCACCCACUAUGCCUUCUCCAAUGUCUUCUGCUUUACGAUCCACGCCUUGCAGUACGAAGACGUGUAAUCGAACUGGCUACAAAAAUUUACAAUUAGAACUAGCACAACAAUUUUAGGACUCGCUUUGACUACAGAGUAUUAUAUCUGCGAUCAUCUUUGAAUCCAAUUUUGAAUGGUCCCGUGAAAUACUUGUAACAACACGAGUACGUUAAGAUUAUCAAUUCAAUCGUGUCAUACACUAAACCAGUAUUAGUGCAGUAUCCGUGACAACACACGUAAACAGAGCGACAAAUUUCUCUAUCGUUCAUAACCCCGUUUUUCUCUUAACAGAUAUCAUGAUUUUCCAUGCAUAUCUGCUGUCUCGCAUUGCGCACUUCACCUUGAACUUGUCAGAUCGGGAUUUAACCACAUAGAAGUUUACCCCAUUUUUAAUUUUGUAUCGCUUCACUGUAACGAUAAAACCAUCUUCAGUUGAGAACUCUUUCCCCACUUCUAAAUCACCCGAAUCCAUCGAAGAAAUCGUUUGGCCCGACCUUCUAGGUGGUAAUUCUGCAAACUCCAUUCCAUCAUCUAUAAAUAGGUCCACAUUAUGCAUGUAGACUGGAGGUGAGUACGCCGUGAACCAUGGAUCUUUUUCAGCAUCAUUACUGAGACAUUUACCAUUUGAACCCUCUAUCUUUUAGUUCAGUUGGAAUCAGUUCUAAUUCAGAAAAUAAUGCAUUUUCUGAACCAUCAGCACCAACAUCUUCCGUGUCAUUCCCUUGUAAGUGUUCCUAGCAUUGAACACUAGCUAACUGAAGUUUAAAUCAGAACCACUAACUAAGUGUUGUGCAGGGGUCCUACCACAAAACCCCGAUUGAUCGGUGUUCUGACUGCUGUAGUUGAAAACUAGUGCUGAAACAGAUGGAUGUCUUCCCAUUUAUGAUUCUGGAUAUCAUAAUGGAAAUUUUCUAAUUGAGAGGUGAACCCACCACACAACUGUGUCGUUGGACUCUCAACUUGUUCUUCCAUUCUAGCCUCUCGAAUAGGAACAUAUGUCGACCUCCGAGGACCUUAUAUGUCCUUGUAAACUCCACAUAUAACUCGAAAAAUGGUGAUCCAAUUCCAAUAUGCGUCUGCACUAUCGCCUCUAACCCCCUCGCACCUUUGAUUUUGAAAGCGUCAUAUCUGAUAGGGUCGACUGAAGCACAAAAUUGAUAUUUAAGGGACAAUACUCUAAUCUGGUUGGAUCUGAUAAUUUUUUGCCUAAUUCUUUUCCAAAGUUAUGGCAAUUCUAUGUUCUAGUUAAAAGCUAACCGCGUUGUGUUCUCUGAUAAAAAAUGACACCAUUUUCGGUGUCAUGCACUUCACCAUCGUAGUAAACAAAAGCAUUCAUUCGUCCACUCAUUUUUAGAUCUAGAUAACCUAUUCCACAUGUUCGACACAAAAUUAUCAUGUAGAGAAAUAGUGUUGUAAUUAAAUAUGAACAACAAAAAUCAAUGCUACUUUAUAUAAUUGCUCCAACUUAUGCCUUAUAUGUGAACUUCUCCUCUUAUGAUCUUCUUACAAUUUUUCUUUACUCGUAAAUGGAUUAUGCCACUCGAUGUUGAAUUAAUUUGGUUUUAUAAACUAGAGGCGACUUGCAGUUGGUUCAGAAAAUUCUCCAGGCCUAGUGGGGAGUUAAAAAUUGUAAAGAGAAAACGCUCCAAGUAGGAUGCACUGUCUGAAAACACUUUCAAGUGGGCACACUUUCAAUGUUUCUAAUGAUAGUGUUGUUAGAGUAUGCCCAAAGACCAAUCAUGAUAUGAUUGCAAUAACUUACUUAUUUUACCUCGUUUAUUAAUAUAAGGCAUUGUCAUUAUUAUUUCAGUUUUUUCUAUGUAUAUAAAUAAACUAUUUUAGAUAAUAAUAUCUUAAGAAUAAUAUGAUUAUUCUUAGAAGGUCCUUAGUCGAGUAUUAUUGUGAGCUUGGACAACAAUAAUGCAUUAAGACUAACGUGUAGUUUAUUAAUGACAAAGUGUUUUCAUUGACAUGGCAUGUCAAAAUCAAUACAUGAGUAUAUGUGUGAACAACAUAUUGGACUAACCCGCUAUGAGUAUGUUUCUUGGAUUAUUAUGUAAUAGUCACAACGUUACUCAUAGUGAUUACUAUGUAUACGAUCCUCAAACUUAAAAUCAUCAUUAUCUUAACAUCAUGAGUCGUAUAUUUUGAUACAAUCAAACAUUCACCGUAACUGGUUGUUCUAUAAAGGCUGAUGUUGGAUAUACUACAAUCUAUGUAGUGGGAUAUGGUUGAUCAAUAUAAGAUUUGCCCUUCCUACAUAAUGGGAGCAAUAUCUUAGGCUACUUGAUUGAAUGAGACUAGAAAUGCAUGACCAUGCUCGAAUAAGUUGAUAUGAGAUAUCAUACUUAUUUGUUUAUCAUAGUCUACUCAGGAUAUCAAGAAACAUUCGAUAGACUAUGCAAGUGUGACUAUUCCAUAACUUGUGUCCAUUCUAGAUAGAAAGAACAAAAGGAUUAAUACAUGAAGGGUUAAUCACAGAGAGGUUAUGUUGAAUCAUGACUUCUUAUAACUUAGGUAGCAAUGAUGCAUUGCUAGAUGCCACUCAUUAUUUGUAAUAUUAGAAUCGUUCUAGUAUUACUGCUAACACUACAAGAACAUACAAGGUCACACUCUAUGGUUAAAACGAACGGAAUCCAAACAUAGUUGGUAAUAUUUUUAGCUGUCACAUGAAUUAAAUUGAUUAUAGAAUUAAUUUAAUUGAGCAUUUAAAUAUCGAACAAAUUAUAUGUACAAGCAUGUUGUACACAUAAUGAGAACAUGAUUAAAUUAAUAUAAAUGAAUUUGAUUUGUAUAAAAUUUAACUAAACAUAAUUUAUCGAAAUCAUUGUUAUAAUUGUUGUAAUUAUAAUUUACGAUCGAAUAUUAUUAUAAUUAUUGUAAUUAUAAUUUUUCGAUCAAACAUUAUUAUAAUUGUGGUAAUUAUAAUUAUUACAUUCGGUUAAUUAUUAUAAUGAAUUUUGAUUCAUAUUAAAAAUAUCAACUAUUCCCAGAUUAGGAAAUAUAGGGUUUUUAAGAAAACCUAAUAUACUUGAAAUAAAAAGAGUGAGGUCUUGCAGCCAUUCUAUAGUGAAUUCUCUCUGAAAAUUUUAAGAGAGUUCUUGUCGUUCGUUGCGACACCAGGUGGAUUAUGUAGAGACCGAAACUUUUUGUAGCGGCUUGGAAUCGACAUACAAUUGCGUAAUCAAUUUCACAACAAUUAUCUGUAGUUUUUCAGACGAUUAAAAGUAAUCGUUCAUACCCUUCUCACCCCGAUUCGUUUCUCGCACAUGGAUCCCUGGAUGUGAUCGCCAAAUUUAAUUUUUUUCGGUUGCACCAUGGGGUGUACUAGUGUUCUUACAAGUGCGUCCUACUUGGAGUGUUUUCUCUCUAUAAAUUUCAACCCCAGCCUUAUUCCAAGAAACUCAUCAUAUAUCCCAGGAUUCCUGAGAUAUAUUUUCUAAACUUAACUAUUUGAAAAUAAUAGAUAAGAGAAUAAACAAUUUACUAAAAAAUUGGAUCAAACAAAUAUUAAGAAAGCGAAAAAAUUAAUAACUAAUAUUUCAUCCCUCGCGAGUAGACCAGGUUUCGAUUAUGAAUCCAAUUCAAUUUUCCAAUUUGAAUAUACGAUUGGUGUAAAUACGAUGUUUUAAAUUUUGAAAUAAAUAGUUAUUAUUUAACAUCUCAAAAAAUUAUUACAAAAUAAAUAAUUAAAAAACUCAAAAAAAAAUUAUUAAACCCUAAACUCAAAAAACCUUACUUUAUAUACCCAAAACCCUAACCCUAAAAACUAAUAACCCUAAUUUUAAAAAGGUCUGGCAUUGGAAAAAUCAAAGGAAAAGUGUUUCUAGUUAGAAGUGUUUUCAGUUGACUUGGCAGAAAGUGCUUCCAACUGGAAACGUUUUUCAGGCAACACGUUGAAAAUGCUUCCAACUGGAAGUGUUUUCCAAAAAAUGGUCUAUUCCCGUAAUUUUUACUAAAAUCGGCCUAUUCACAUAAUUUUUUUGACAUUUAUUGGUAAGUUAGUCCAAUUAAAAUAAUUUUAAUUCUUGAAUUAAAAUAAGUUGAAUUUAGAAAGAAAAAGAAAGUCUACCUUGUAGCAUGUCUGUUUGGUUUUCUCUCUGUCUGCUUGUAAAAUGGUGGAAGAAAUGGUGAAUCUCAAUAUAGCAGAAGAUAAGAAAGAGCCGGUGCAAGCUUUGGGGGAUAAAGAUGUGGUAGAAGAGUAUUAUAGCCUAUGUUUGGUGGGGCGGGUAUUAACGAAUAGUGUGGUUCAUUUCCCAUUUAUGAGGAAUAUUUUGGUAGAUCUGUGGCAUCUGUUGGGGGGAGUAUCCAGCACGGAUAUUGGGGAAAAGCGAGUCCUGUUUUGAUUUUUCAAUAUGAUAGAUCUGAGGAGGGUGAUGGAUGGAAUGCCCUGGUUUUUUAACAUACACCUAAUUAUUUUCCAUUAACUAGAGAAGGGGGAAAGAUCCUUUGCAAGUCCCUCUCAUUCAUGCCUUAUUUUGGGUGUAAGCGCAUAAUUUGCCGAUGGGUUUCAUGUUCGAAGGAAUGGCGCGUAGAUUGGAAACUUUAUUCGCCAAUUUCUAGAGUAUGAUGUUGCGUUAAUAACAAGGAGAGUAAGGAAGUUUAUGCGUAUUAGGGUUAAAUUAGAUGUCCUGGUUCCGUUGAAAAGGAAGAAGCGUGUAGUCUUUUAGCAUAAUAGAUCCACAGAUGCACAGUUCCAAUAUGAGAAGAUUACUUUGUUCUAUUUUUUAUGCGGUAGGUUGGGCCACGGGGAAGGAUUUUGUCCUGUUAGAUUAAUGCUAGGAGCACAGGAGGUGGUUUUUGGUUGGGAUAGCUCGUUGUGGGCUUCACCGCAGAGGGCGGUGCCGGUUGCUAGUUGCUGGCUGAGGGAAGAUCCGGGGGAUGGAGUUGGAUAGAGGACAAGAGGGGAGGAAUUUUGGGGAUAUUCAAACUGCUCAAUCUUAUAACAGUGAACAAGCGUUGUUUUAUUAAUGAUAAUUUGAUAACAAUAUUGUUGAAAAUACCAAUUUGUUUAGAGCUACUGAAGUCUCUGUUUCUCCAGGUUUAUGAAAGCAAAUACAUGAAUGGUUACCUUUCCCAGUUGGCAUAAUUCCAGUAGGGGUGAAAGUAGAGUACUUCCUCCUCAAGUUGAACUCCAAACUUGCUGUCAACCUUAUCCUUCACCAAAGCAAUGAGAUUGAGCAUGUCUUGAGAAGUGGAGGCACCAUUAUUAACUAAGAAAUUGGCAUGGAUAUUGGAAACCAUUGCUCCUCCUAUGCUACACCCUUUCAAUCCAGCUUUAUCAAUCAACUCAGCUGCUGAAACACCCAAAUUCACCGGAUUCCGAAACACUGACCCAGCGCUGCGUUCAUUUACUGGUUGAGUUGCUCUUCGCCUGCAAAUAACAAUUGUUUAUCAGUAAGCAAACCUUUUUCAUACACUGGUUUUGACUUUAAAAGACAGGCAACCUCUUCAAAAGCUCUUGUUGCCUUUUCUUAGCUGACCCUGAGCGCUCUAACCGGAACGUAGCAGCCACGAUUGCUGCCAAGUUGUCCAUGUCCUGAAACGAUGAUGAUCGGUAGCCGAAAGUGAGAUCAAUUCUGUUCAGUGUCCGAAAAUUUCCUUCAGUUGUAACAAUGUCUACGCUUUCAAUAACAUUGGCAGUCUCCUUCAAAAACAAAUGAUCCUUUUUAGCUUCUUCAACCACGAAAAGUAACAAAAAUCCAUUAAUGGUUAGGGUUUAAUCUCAAGAUAAGUUGAAGUCUGAACUCGAGUUCCAUUCAAAAUUCGCAACCCAAAAUCCAAAUCGAGUAUGAUGAACUAUUUCAAACUUAUAUAUCAAAUAACUUUUCUCUACCUUCAACUUCAAACUCAAUUAUUUUUGCUCGAGCUUCGAACUCCAAAUUAGAAUACUCCAAUUCUGGAGCUCGACAAUGACCGAACCAAAUUGGAGUUAAGAAUUAGAGACAUACCUGACCAUUUGCUCCAGCAUUCAUGUAAGUUGCACCUCCUACAGUCCCAGGAAUGCCUGCUGCAAACUCAAGACCUGUAAAUCCUUCAUUGCAACUCAGACUUCCCAAGUGAUUAAAUCGAAAACCACUACCAGCCCUAUAAACUCCAGGUUCCAUCCUCUCUAAGAAGUCAAUCUGAUUUAGAAGCACACAACCAUCAAAACCCAGAUCAUCAAACAGACAAUUUGAGCCUUUGCCAAUCACAACGUAUGGAAUGGAAAACUCACGACAAUAUCUGCAUUACGUAUCAGUUGAAAUCUAAAAUGUUGGUCAUUGAAUCAAAGAGCUUUCAGCCUUGUCAAAAGAAUCAAAUUCAAAUAAAUUACCAUUUCUACUUUAUUAAGAUAAGGUUGAAGAUAGCAAGAAGAAUGAAACCUGAUGGCAGAAAGCAGAUGGGUUUGGUGAAAGACUUGAACAAAGUAAUUGCAAGGGCCACCAAUGCCCCAAGUGCUAAGAUCCUUCAAGAGUUUCUUGCCUCUGACGAAUUUCAAGGCAUUCCAAUUCUGGGUUUGCUCUUUGUUACUGGAAAAAAUGGGGGUUGAGUUUCUAGGAGAUUGAACAACGGGGAAGGCCAUGGACGCCAUUUUAGUGAAGGUUGGAGGAGUUGGGAGCAUGAGUGACGGAUUUUGUCGGGAAGUUGAGAACGGGAAAUUUAUUUCCAUCAGGUUCUUGAUGGGCUUUCACUAUCAAAGAUUUAAACACUUCCGUUUAAUGCGUUAUUACGGUAAAAAGUUCUUUCACUCCACUCAAUUUGGGAAAUAGUAACUGAGGGUUAAUUUUAUAUAAUUUUGAUUAAUAAUAUAAUUACAUAUUUUAACAAUUUAAUUUUAAUCCUAAAAAUUUAAUAAAUUUAACAUUUAAUAUAUAAAAAUCAAUAAAAAAAUACAAUUUAAUCUUCAGCACCCAUAGCAAUUCUUCCUCCUAUCUUUGGAUCCUUCCAUCUUAUUUUUGAAUUCUAAAGCUCUAAAUACUUUCACAAAUAAUGUUUCUUUUUUCUUCUUAAUAUCUGAAAAUCGUAAAGAUUCAAGGAAGCUUCUUUAGAUUCACUUUAAGACGGUAAUGUAUUCCAUCGACAUCCAACCUCUUUUGUAAUAAGUCGUUGAUUAUUUUUAUUAUUUUCCUCCAUCGACUAUAUUUUUCUUCUCAUAUUUAGUUCCAAUCAACAUAAUUAAUCUGUUUCCAUUCCCAUAUUAAUUGCUUUUACUUUUCCUUUUUCUUCCCCUUCUUGAGGUUAAGAAAUCCCAUAAAAGUAAUUUUUUUUAAUCAAUUGAGGUGUUUGUCUGGGUUUGGCUUAGUUGCCCAUCUCAACAAAGCAAAAGUUUUGAGAAAUUGGGUUUUGAAUUCUACAUUGGAUGGGUUUUGAGAAAUUGAGGUUCCUCCGUUAGAUAGGUUCAACGCCAUUUAUAUAUGUAAAAAGAAGAGCAUUCAAUAUGGGAAUGGAAAUUGGAAACAUUUUAACUUUACCACCAUCGGAUCAUGCCCAAACUCAAACCAGCAGCACUUUUCUUUUUCCAAAAUUAGAGAGCAAAGGGAAGUGAAAUAAUAUAAUAUGUCUUGAUUACCAACAAUUGCGGAUCUAAACCAUUGCUUCCAGCAUUCACCUCCAAUGGGUCAUUCGUAUCUAACAGGAUUUCGAAUAAAUUGCCUGAAACACAUAGUUGGAAAUUUUGAGUAUUUUUAAAAUAUAUUUUUUUAAAAUUUGAGAAAAUUUGAAAUUUAUAUAUAUUUGAAGUUUAUUUUUUUAUAUAUAUUUUAUUCUCAUAUAGUUUUUCAUUUUAGAAUCAAAACCAAAUUGAUUGAAGGUGUAAAUACUAAGGGUUAAAUUUGAUUUGUUUUAAAAAUUGGAACCAAUUUGACAAAAUAUGAAAAUAUUAAAUGCUAAAAUUGUUAUUAUACCAAUUAAAAUUAUUUAAAGCUGGCAAAAAAAAUGAUCGUCCUUAGUUGCACAAUUUUGAAAUUUUUAGAGAUUAAACUACUUUGUUUUUUUAGAAGAAUCAAUUUAAUCAAUAUCGAAUUUGACAAGGACAGGGGAGGUCUUUCCACCAUGUUAAUUACUAUAAUUUUAAAUUUCUGAUAUUUAAACAAAGAAGGGGAAGAAAUACUGGAUGGCAAUUAAAGUGGAUUUAGAGAAAGCUUACGAUAGAAUUCGGUGGGAUUUCAUUAGUGAUACUUUGUUGGACGUUGGAUUUCCUUCGAAUUUAAACGAGGUGAUUAUGGAGUGUAGUACUUCGGCUUUCAUGCAGAUAUUAUGGAAUGGAAAACCUUCAGUCUAAUUUGUUCCAAGGAGAGGCAUUAGACAAGGAUGUUGUAACAGCCCGUUUUCGAUAAAAUCGGAACAAUGGUUUCGGGACCACAAAUCUAAUUUCGGAAAAAAAUUUAUUAUUAUAUUAUUUUAUAGUCUAUAGUAUGAUAGUAAUGUCAUAUAAAAAUUUCGUAAAGAAAUUUUACCGAUUACAUGUUUAAUUUGAUAAAGUACCAAAUUGCACAAAGUGCAAAAGUUGAGUUCUAAUAGCUAAAGGGAUUAAAUAGCUAUAGAACUUUAAAUUGGAGGUCCUUAUAUGGUAAAUAGACCAUUAAAAAAACUUAGUAAUUAAGAAUGAUGAUUCAUCCAUGGAAAAUAAAAUAAAGAAAAGGAUGAAAUUAGAAAGUGAAAUAAUAAAAGAUAAUAAAUGAUGAAAAGAUAAAAAUAUCAUCAUUUAUAUCAUCUUUCCCAAAUUAAAAGCAUGGAAACCCUAGCACUGGAAACCUAAGCUCAAGCCAACUUAUUUUGCUUGAUUAGGUAAUUAUUCUUGCCCGUUUUUAAUAAUUUUUAUAUUUCUCAUAUCGUAAAAGCUUAAUCUAGCUAUCUUCAGGAUUAAUUUGCAAAUUUAUCAAGGUACUAGGGUUUUUCCAUGGAUGAACAUAGAUGAAUUAUGAAGUUUUAUGAUAGAAAAUGAAAGGUUGUUGAUAAACAACUUUUGUAAAGCGAAUUUUGAUGAAAUUAUGAUUUAGGAACUAAAUUGAAAAGAUAUAAAAUUCAUGAAAAAAUUCUAAAUUUUAUGAAAUACAUGGGCUGUAAAUUUUACAUGUAAAAAUCGACUAGGCUUGGAAUAAGGAUUAAAUUGCAUGAAUUUUAUUUUUCGAACUUAGGGACGAAAUCGUUAUUAAUUAAAAUUUUAGGGGUAAAAUGGUAAUUUUUUCUGAGAUAUGGAUUGAAUUGAAAUGAACAUGAAUUAAUGUUAAAUUCAUCAUAUAGAUUCGGAUAGACCAAAUUCGAAGUUAGAACGAGGAAAAGAGAAAAUGUUGGAUUAGUAAAUUUUGCGUACACGAAUAUUUGUCGAGGUAAGUUCGUGUAACUAAAUUAUGUAUAUUAAUAUGUUUUAAUUGAAUGUUGUGUAUGUGAACUGUAUAAAUGCUAAAUAUAUGAAAUUGAUUACAUAUCCGAAAAAGCCCGAUAAAUAUUAAAUCUCGUUUGAAUAAUGGAAUUCGAUGGAUACAGAAUUUCCCAAUUGGUUGUAGUCCUGCAUGUGUUGCGGACACACCACAGCUCCUACGAGCAUCCUGUUAUAAGCCCUCUCAAGCUUCUUGUUAUAUGGUUCCUACAAGCAUCCUGAUCGAUAGUGAUCUUGCAUGUGUUGCGGACUACCGCAGCUCAUUGUGAUCGUCCUGUUAUAUGAUCGGUUGUGAUCCUGCAUAUAUUGCGAACACAAACACAGCUCCUUAUGAGCGUCCAGAUAUGGCUCGUUUGAACUUCCUGAUAUAUGGUUAUCCGGAGCUCCUGAUUAAAAGCUCUUCGUGAGCUUCUUAAUUAAAAGUUCUUUAUGAACUUCCUGAUUAUUACUCUUAUGAGAUUCCUGUUAUAUAGCCUGGAUAAGCUUCCUGAUAGGCUCUUUAUGAGCUUCCCAAUUAAUGGCUCUUUGCGAGCUUCCUGUUAUAUGGUUUAAGAGAAGAUUUCUCGAUUAUGUGCUAUAAAGAGCACUCUUGAACAUGAAUUGACAGAUUUCUAAUUUGUACACUUCGAGUGUACUACCUGUGUAUCCAUCGAUAUUUCAAAUAAAUUCAACGGGCAAAAUCCUGACAUGAGAAAAUAUGAACAUGAAAUGAAUUAAAACACGUAUCUACCUGAAAUACAUGAAAAUGAUGAUACAUGAUAUAUGGAAAUACGAGAUGAUAAUAUAUGAACAUGGAAUUUGUUUGAUAAAUAUGUUCAUCCAUGAUUAUAGAUUUGUACACCUUGAGUGUAUUACUCGUGUGACACUAACAUUUCAAAUGAUUCAAUGGGCAAAGUUCCGACAUGAAAUAAUCUGAACUCGAGACGAAUUAUCAUGAAAAUGUACUUGAAAUAAAAUUAAAUAUCAUUUUACUUGAUCUGUAUAUUUCGGUAAUGCUUCGUAACCCUAUUUCAGAGACAGAUACGGGUUAGGGGUGUUACCGAUGUCCAAUGUCUCCUUAUAUCUUAGUGCUUUGUAAGGAAAAAUUGGGUCAUUUAAUUCAUAAGAAUGUUAAGAAUAAACUGUGGAAACCAAUUGUUCAGGGUAAGAAUGGCCUCCUUUAUCACAUCUUUUAUUCGUUGGUGACCUGUUCUUGUUUGCUGAAGUAGAUAUUGAUUAGGCUAAGGUCUUAAAAAAUGUUCUCAACACUUUUAGAGACGUCUUGGGACAUGAAGUCAAUAGACUUAAAACCACUGGCUCUUCUCUAGCAACAUAGACUCCAACCAUGCUAAUGCCAUCUGUAGUGUUUUUGGUUUUUUCCAGACUGAUGAUUUGAGGAUUUAUCUGGGACUACCUCUCAUUCACUGAUGAAUAACAGUGAACUCUUUCAAAUUCAUUGUGGACAAAGUUAGACGAAAGUUGGACAGUUGAAAUGCCAAAAACACUAUCUGUGGUGAGAUGAGUAACUUUAGCUCGGCCAGUUUUAUUGUCGAUUUCUAAUUAUUUUAUGCAAACUGUGAAAAUCUCGUUUAGUAUUUGUACAGAAAUUGAAAAAAUUGCUCAGUGAUUUAUUUGGGGGAGUUAUGGAACCUUUCAAAAACCAGUGUUGGUAAAAUAGGGAGAUUGUUGUCAACCUUUGCAUAAUGGGGGCUUAGGUAUCUGGAGACUUAAGGAACAAAAUGAUUCUUUUUUGCUUAAUUUGGGAUUUAAUCUCCUAACCAAUGAGCAAGCUUUGUGGGUAAGGGUACUCCGUUCUAAGUACAAGCUCUUGGAGGAUUUUUCUAAAGACAUUUCUCGAAGCAAAUGUUCUCUUGUCUGGAGAUUGCUUGCGAAGGUUUAACCCAUUUUGCGUUAUAAUUUUAUUUGGUCAGUUGGUGAUAGGAAUUGUAUAAAAUUUUGGACUGUCAAUUGGAUUUCUGAAAUAGGGCCGCUUAUAAACCAUGAUUUGGUUCCCUCUCUGGUUGAUGUUUCUAUUAUGCUUCAUGAGGCGGUGGAUAUAGAAGGUAUUUGGCACUGGAAAUACUUGAGGUGUUUUUUAAAUGAGGAUAUUCUAUCUUAAAUCAGAGGAAUUUCGACUAUGAAUUCUUUAACAGGCUAUGAUGAUGUUAUUUCGAGCUGGGCAGCUAAUGGAAAAUUUAGCAUCAAUGAGGCUUACUGUAAGCUAACAAUUAACUCAUUGAAAAUGCAAGAAGAAAAAUGGAAUCUUGUUUGGUAUUUGAAUGUCUUACAACGUGUUCAACAUUUUAGUUGGAUUGUGUAUAAGGGACGUCUCUUUACUAAUUUGGAAAGGUGUAGACAAGGAUUGUCAGAAUACCAUCAUGUAAGAUUUAUGGGAAUACAGAAGAAUCUAGUCUUCAUGUUUUACAAGAUUUUCCUAAGGAAAAAGAAGUGUGGAAUCAAUUAAUCCCUCACAGAAUUCAGAUAAGUUUUUUCACUUACUCCUUAGAGGAUUGGCUGACUUUAAACAUGGAAAAUAAACUUGAGGUUACUCUCUAGGAUGCGGAUUGGCCAUCUUUGUUUGGGAUUGUUUGUUGGAAAAUUUGGAAACAGAGAAAUGUGUGCGUGUUUCAAGAUGACCAUUGCAACAUAAGCAGUUUGAUUCAUUCUUCGUGGUUAUGGGCAAGGUCCAUUAAGUAGAGAUAGAUAAGUUCGAGAGGGAGUAAUGGGAAUCAAAUAAGAAGCCAAAGAUGGGCCCCUCCACCUAUUGGUUUCUUUAAAAUAAAUACAGAUGGCGCUUGCAACUUGAGUUUGGGUUCUGCAUGGUCAGCAACGGUGACACGUGAUAAGCAUUGUGACAGCCCAAAAUUGACCCUAGUCGGGAAGUGGUUUCGGGACCACAAAACCGAGUCAUAAAAAUAAUUGAUUUCCAUAUUCUAUGCUUAUUAUGUGUGUACAUGAGUAUGUGGAAGUUUCAUUCUCCAAUUUUGCCAAUUGCAUGAGAAAUUAUUAAAUAGGGAUUGAUAUGAGACAUGGUGAAAAUAUGAUAGGCUAAUUUAAAAUGGUCUAUUAAUGCAUGUUGUGAAAAUGAUGGGUUUGCAUGUCAAAUUACCCAAAAUUUGAGCUAGUGGUUGGCCAUGCUAUGGGUGGAAACAUGUUGGGAACAUGUUGGCCUAGUGAGGUAUGUAGGAAAAAAAUAAAAUAAUAGGCAUGGAAAUUAAAUAAUGAAAAGGAGCAUGAUGAAUACACAAAAAAAAAAGUGUGUAGUUGAUUCUUUUCCCCCCCAUGGCCGUGAGCUAAAAAAAAAAAGAGAGGAGAAGAUCUUUGUUCAUCCUUUUCUCACCUUCAUUUAGCCUAAAUUAGAAAGAAAAACAAAGAAAAAAAUUUCUCAUCCUUUGGUUCAUCCUUGGCCAAAAAUUUUAAUGAGGAAAGAAGAAGAAAGGUGAAGAGAUUCGGCCAUGCAUGUAGCUAGGCUAAGGUAUGUUUGAUGAUGUUCCAUGAGAUGCAUGCAUGUUUUAGUUGUUAGCUUGAGUUCUACCUAGCCCAUGGUCUAAAUCUUGCUAUGUGAUGGAAAUGGCACUUGACCAUGGAUGCAUCAUUCUUGGUUGAUGUUUGAUGUUGUGGUGAUGAGGCAUGAGGAUGAGUUAAGAUUCGGCCUAGGUGGAGGUCGUGUUAAUGCCAUUGCAUGCAAAAUAUGAAGCUUGUUAAUGAUGCAUGUGAUGAUGGCUUGAUGAUUUUUGAACCUCCUUUUUAGCAUUUUUGUGUGAGCACAUAUGUGCAUUGAUUGCUAAAUGGAGAAGAAUCGGCUAGCAAGAUGUGUGCUAAGGCCGAAUGUAACUUUGCAUGUUAAUGAGCAAUGCAUGUGUUAAAUUGAUGAAAAGGGGGAGGAUGCUUUACUAGUGUGUAUAUGUGUGUAUUAAGUGUUGAAAUCGACCCCAAAAAUAGACAUGCAUAUUCGGCCAAGGGGAAAGAAAUUAGCUAAUAUGUUGUGUUGAUGCAUGAUUUUUGCAUGUACGAGACUUUAAUGUCUAAUGUAUAAAUAUGGGCUAAGUGCCUUGUGUUCAUCUUUUUGAUGCCUAAAUGAUGAAAUCAAUUUAUUUGUUUAAUUAAGCUCAAGAGCAAAGGGGAAAUAAAUCCGAUAAAGGGAAGGAAAAAGUGGUCGAAUAGUUAGCGGAAUCGUUCGACAACACCCGAGGUAAGUUCUUGAGUAAGAGAGCUUAAAUUACGAUGUGAUUAAAUCAUGUUUUAAGCAAAUUAAAAUCAUGCUCUAUGUGUGGCUAUUGAGCCGAAUGUGCAAGGACGAUAUGUGCCUUGUGUUUGAGUUUCGCAAAUGAAAAUGAAAUAUGAAUGUGCCAUGAAUUAUUGUUAGAUGUGCAUGAUUAAUUGAAUGCUGUCCGGGCUAAGUCCCGAAGGCUUUGUGCUAAGUGAAUAUAUCCGGACUAAGAUCCGAAGGCAUUUGUGCGAGAUACAAGUUCCGGGUUAAGCCCCGAAGGCCUUUGUGCGAGAUACUAAAUCCGGGUUAAGUCCCGAAGGCAUUCGUGCGAGUUAUUAAAUCCGGGUUAAGUCCCGAAGGCAUUGUGUGAGUUACUAAAACCGGGCUAUGUCCCGAAGGCAUUUGAACGAGGAGCUAUAUCCGGUUAAAUCCCGAAGGUAUGUGAUUUGGUAAUGAAUGAGCUUGCUGUAAAAUUCCAGCGAAUACACGAAAAACAUCCCAAUAUGGGGAUAUGUUACGUAUGUGUUGAAUUUAGUCGAGCCCGUACAAAUAAAUGUUCGCUCAGUUGAUAAACGAGCUACCGGCCUUCGGCUAAGUUAGUCUAUUGUGUAUGUACAUAAUGGUUGUUUAUGUUGUGAAGCAAGUUUGAUAUCGGUAAAUUGCGUAUUAUGAAAUAUUCCGUUUAGCUAAAUGUGUGUUAUACUUUGUUUAUGCUGGAAUUCCUUGCUCAAAACUUACUAAGCAUAAAUUGCUUACUUGUUACACUGCUCCUCUGUUUUAUAGAUUUUUGGUUCUCCAGCUAUCGGACUCGGGAUCUUGAAGUCGAAGUCGCCCACACUAUCAAAGGCUCUUUUGGGUACUAUUUUGGUUGAAUUUUGAUAUGGCAUGUAUAGGACUACCCAUUGUUGUUUUUCGAGUACUUUAUGAAAUGUAUAAGUGUACAGCCAUGCGAAAAUGGCUUGUAGAAGUAGAAUAUGGCAUUAGACCAUUCGUGUUUAUGAAUGUAUAGAUGGUUUCAUGAUGUAACUAUAGUUGGAAUGGAAGUGUUGAGCAAAUGAUCAGCCAUUGGAAUGGCUAAGUAUGAUCAUAUGUGGGCAUAUGUAUGACAAGGCCCUAGUUGGUCCAUGAAACCCCGAAAAUAGGUAGUGAAUAAAUAUGUAAUCGAACCUUGAUGAAUCUACUUUCAUAUGAAAGUAACGAAACAAUCAUACGGACAGUAUGUUAAGAGAUAUUCAGGUUCUCGUGAGACAGGGCCAGAACGGUUUCUGGAUUCCCUGUUCCGACUUUGGAAAUUCAUUAUAAAUUAACCAGAGAUAAUUAGGAGUCAUACCAUAUAUGUAUAGAUUCCUCUCUGAGUCUAGUUUCUAUAGAAAUAAACGGCAUCAGUAUUGGAGCCCUGUACAAGGAGAUAUCCAAGUCGUAAUGCGCAAAGGUCAGGGUAGUCGAUCCCUGUAACAUGGGAGACUUUGACUAAUAAACUGUACUAAUUGGCCCAACCAAAAAUUCUAGAAAAAAAUAUGUAGAUGGGCAUAUGAGUCUAGUUUCAGGGAAAAAUCACGAAACUGAUUUUCGAGUUGUGAAGCUCAAGAUAUGAUUUUUAAAGCGACUAGUACACAGAUUGGGCAGUGUCUGGAAAUUUUUCAAAGUUUGUUAACACCUCGUGUUCGACUCCGGUGUCGGACUCGGGUUCGGGGUGUUACAAGCAUGGUAAUUGGAUGUGGGGAAUAGGAAGAAGUAUUGGUACAUGUAGUGUACUACAAGCUGAGCUUUGAGCAAUAUAUGAUGGCCUCUGUUUUGCCUGGGAAGCCUAAUGGGCAAAUGUUAUUAUUGAGAAAAAUAGUGUGCAAGCUAUUAAAGAUGUUGUGCGAAUCCAGGAACUUUGCCAACGCGAAUGGAGAGUGCUCUUUAAAUAAGUACCAAGAGAGGUGAAUUUGACUGCUGAUAUUUUAGCUGGUUUGAUGAAAGAUGCUCCUAUUGGCUUAAGAAUAUUUCAUGCUUCCCCUUCACAGGUUGAUGAUCAAUUAUAGACAGAUAGACGAGUUAUGCUACUCAGCAUUGAUAUUACUAUUAGCUUGUAAUUGAAGCUUUUUAUUUCUUGUUACAAAAAAAAAUCUGAUAUUUAGGGUUAGUUUCACUGUAGGAAGUAUAAGCCAUAUUUGAAUUUUAGAAUGUCAGUAUUUUAAAUUGUAUUAUUUCAUUUGAAUAAAUAUUUUAUAAAAUAAGAAAAGUAUAUUAAAAACAAAGGAUCCUAUUAAAAAUUUAGCCUAUAUUUUCUUUAAAGGUUUUUUUUCUCUUUGUGAGUUGUUUCGAGUAAGAUCUCGAGUAUUUUUUUUUGUUUCUUUGUCUUGUUUUUGGUUUCUUAGGAUUUUCCUUUAGGACUUUUUGAGUUUGUUUUUAAGAAUUUGGUCGUUCUUCUUUUUCGAUUGUUUGUUUUAUUAUUUUGUAGGUUUUUCUUUCAUUUCCUUUUGUGGAAGUUGGCAGUGUUAUUGGCCUUUAACAAGGGUUACAGAAGGCUUGCACUUCAUUAAUUUUCUAACUCAUUAUGGGUCAAGAGGGUAGAGGUUAUGGAGAGUGAUUUCUCUAUUAAUUUAAAAGAAGAUAGGGCGGAGGUUGACUGUAUGGUGAGUUGUACUUUGAUUGGUAAGGUUAUUUAUGAUAAGAAAUUGUAUCGGAGGAGUGUCAGUAAUGUGCUGCAAAAUAUUUGGUUUUCAAAUGAAGUGGAAUCAGUUGUAGAAAUGGGGAUUAGUUUGUAUACGAUAAAUUUUUAAAGUUCAGCUUGGAUGGAGAAGGCUUUACGUGAGAGUCCUUGGUUGGUGAUGGGGUGUUUCUUUGUCCUAAUGAAGUGGGAACCAGAUAUGGGUGUUCAAGAUAUUGAUUUCUCUAAGGUGGCUUUCUAGAUCUAGGUACACAAUUUGCCUCUUAUGAUGUUAACUAUGCAAAAAUCCUAAGAAGGUUGAUAACAUAAUUGGGGAUUUGGUUUGUGUAACACCCCUCACCUGUCUCCGUUACUAGAUUAGGGUUACGAGAUGCUACUAUACAAUACAUAACAUAAUUAUGCUAUAUCAAUGCAAUACAUUCCCAAACAAUUGUUAACUAUCAAAUUUGUAAUCAUGUCAUUCAUAUCCUAACGGUAUUAAAUCGAGCUCAACAAAUCUAUAAAACAAUUUAAAACAAAGUAGGGACUCAUUUGAAACAUUUUAGAAAAGUGAGGUAAAAAUGAAAAUCACACAGCUGUGUGAAUCUAUAGGACAUGGUCGUAUUGACUAACCGUGUGGGAGGAGGUACACGAUCAUGUCUCCAAACCAUGUAACUAACUGAUGUCGUGUGUGCCAAUUGAAACUUAAAUCACAUAGACCACACGGUCAUGGCAUACACCCGUGCAUGGCACAUGACCGUGUGCACCUAAAUGACACUUUCUCCACAAGUUACCUAAUUCAAUUUCCUUAGGCCACAAGCAAUAUUAAACCAUCAUUCAAACCUACUCAAAGUCAUCAAAAUAUACCUAAAACAACAUCUAUCUCAUACAUCCUAAGUGUUUAACUAAUAUGCUACAUUUGACACCUUAAUUCAAACAUAUUCAAAUUCAUAUUUAACAACCAUCAAUUCAUAAAACAUAUGCCUAAUAUUUGAACCAUUUCAUCAAUCAUAUACCAAAACAAACCAUACAAAACAUGGCCAAAACAUCCUUAAAUAUGUACAUACUUAAUCACCAAAAGUACCAACUUAGCAAAAUACCUCAUCAUUAUUCACAUAGCCAAACCCUACCACAACUUGAAUAUAUAUAUGAAAUCAAAACACCUACUACAUGGAACUUAUAACCUACCCAAAAAUGGUCAAAAUUCUACCGAGUCAUUAAACUGAUAGUGUGAGCUCGGACUUGACUUCCAAUCGACAAUGACUUUCGAUUAUCUAAAAAGAAUCUAACAGGACGGACGUAAGCAAUUAUUGCUUAGUAAGCUCAUAUUAAAAUUAACUCAACUUACCAAUUUUUCAAGAAAACAACUAAAGCAUGGAUUAUACCAAUUCGCAGGAUAAAUUCUAUGCUCAUGGUUAGCCUAUACAAAUCACAAAUAUUACAAAUUAGUACUUGUCACACCCCAAGUUUAGCGGAUCUAAGAAUGAGGCAUGUAGUUGUGAAGUUAUUUGUUUGGCGUAGUGUAAUCCACCAUGUUAAGUUUUCUGACGAAUUGAAAUGUGGCAUAUAGUACCUGCCAUUGAGUAAAUAAAGGUAUUAGGUUAUUUUGUUAUCUAAGAGAAGGACAUAUCAAGCGAAGUUCGGUCAGGUAAAAGUUACUGCCAAAUGUUUAGUAUGCCUAAUCUGUUUGAAUAUUGUGCUAGUUGGAUUGUAAAGUGAUCUGGUUAGGCUGGUCUAAUAUCCAUUAUGCAGGAUUUUCAUUUAAUUUUCUCUCAGAAUCUAUAGGCCAUUAAGAAGGACAAAUUUUGAAUUAAGUGAUACUUGUUAAGUUCCACGAAGUAGGACUGGAGAGUAUAUAUAUGUGAGAAGGGUUUGUCAGGACGUUUUCUUCUUCCUUCAGUAUUACUCUUUGGUUCUAUUUUUAAAUUUAAAUGUUACUUGAUCUACCACAAAUCAACGUGGCAAAUUAGGAUUGACGCACUUGAUGAUCUUUUUCUCGAGCAAAAUAGAGUUUUUAGCAAUUUUUUUAUUUUCAUAUUUUUGGGUAAUAAGUGAAAAUGUCUUCAUUUUGUCUAUUUUUUCCCAAAUUGGUAGAUAGUGCCAUUGGGAGGUCUAACGUGUGUUUGAAUGCAGUAGGGACGUGUCAAAGGUCGAAAAUGAGCGAGAACGACAUCUAGGGCAAGGGUAUGCGUUAUCCAACCUCUAAAAUCGCGAAUCCUAUUUUGAGUUUUCAAUAUGAUAGAUCUGAAGAGGGUGAUGGAUGGAAUGCCCUGGUUUUUAAUAGGCAUCUUAUUAUUUUCCUUUAACUGGAGAAAGGGGGAAGAUCCUUUGCAAGUCCCUCUUAUUCAUGCCUUAUUUUGGGUGUAAUGCCUUUGUGGUGAAAUCAGGGUAAGUUUAGAGACUCAUUUGCUAGAUAAAUCUGUGGAACAGAUUUGGAUAAGUUUGAAAACAUCUCUAUUUGGAUAGCCUUGUGAUAAAAUUGAGUAUGACUUAAAGGCAAUUUCUGAAAGAGUCUCAAUAGUGUUUCUAAAGGGUGAAUCAACCAUAGUAGUCUGUCAGUACAAGUAAUUUGGUAUAUUCGUAAUUAUGAGUAGCCUAAGAGUUUGUCAGAUUUGAAUUUGUUUUCUUUAUGUAAGGAAGCAAUUUGAAUUAUCUGGUAUCUGUCAAAUCUGAGUGUUUCACAUUAUAGAUAAAAAGGUUAUCUGAAGUAUAAAUUGUCCAUCAAAUCAGAGUGUUCUCAUUAUAUGUAAUAUGGUUGUCUGGGAUUCCACUGGAUGACUUAGAAGACUUCACCCAUCAGAAUAAGUUAUGAUCUGGGUUGAUAUAAGACAUGAUCUGACUAGUAAUCUGAUAGCUGUCAAUUCAUUAUGAGAAUCCACCAAAUGUAAGAUUUGUAUGAAGCUUGUCUUAAAAGAUCAGUUAGUAUUAGUAUCAACCAAGAAUAGUAUCUAUGAGUACCCCAUCAUGGGGGAGGUAUUCAACAUCUGACUGAGUGAGAAUCCGUCAAAGUUAGGUUUUGUAUGGAUACCUUUCUAUGAAGUGUAUUCAUUUUUUGAAAAGGAAUGAGAUCUAUAUUGAGUGUUCAAGACUAGAAUCUGCUCAAUUAGUGAAUUGUAUGUAGGGUGUUUGAGUAUGGAAGUUGGCAUAUAUGCAUACACCCAAUAUUAAGGAAGUACUCGCCAAAGUUAGAAAGGAAAUCCAGAAUCUUUCAAGAUGAGGAAUUAAACAACAAAUGUUGCAAGGUGAUUUGAGUUAAAACUCACUAAUUUCAUUUGAACUUACAAAUGUUUGUUUAUGUUUCAAGUUUCGCCUUAAGAGUAGGUACGCCAAAAGGGACCAAGCCAGGAUUGUGCCAAUGUAGCAGUUCAAGUGGCAAAAUUAUGCAUACAAAGCGCACUAUAAGAGUAUGGUGUAUAGUACUCUACGCUAUAAAGAGUUAGUUUCAAGCUGUAACGUUAUAUGUUUUUCAAACUUUGAUGUAAUCAUCAAAUAUCUAUUUUAAGAAUAGUACAAAAGAAAUAAGAAAUAUAUAUAUUAGAAAAAUUUUAUGCCUGUUGUAAAAUCUCUGCUAAAUGCUCUUGUAUUGAAUUCGGUGAUUCGGGUCAAGUAGAGGGUGUUAUAAUCUUUUCAAUUUUUAACCGCUUUUUUGCACGACCCAUACGGCCCUAUAUAUUUCUCAACCUAUUUUUAACAUAAUUUUUAAUGUUAAACUAAUCCUAAACAUCCCCUAAGCCCUUCUAAUAGUAGUUAAUCACCUCCCUUCCAUCGUUGUUUUAAGCUUUCGCCAUUUUUUUCGCGAGUUCCUUUGUUCCUGCCACGCCAUUAUUGUCGCCUCUCUACUGCUCACCUCUAUUGUCAGCCGCCUCGUCAACCAACAAUCUCAGUAAAAUGUUUUUAACUUUUGUGCUUUAUUUUUUUAUUUCAUCGUAUUAGUUUAUUUUCGGAGUAUAUUUUUAUAUUACAUUCAAACGGCCCUGAGAAAAGUUUUCCCCACCUCGCAAUUGAGUGAAUUAGGAGAAUUUAAUUCUACCCGAUUUUGAAGCCAAGAAGUUGAAAAAUACUUCUUGGAACUCCAAGGGAAGAUUUUCAUUCAAGAACGCGGGUUUGACUAGUCGUUCGACUUGAACGAUGAAAUUUGGGACUUGAUUCGUGUGAACCAUUCGACUGACUUUUGUCUCACAUAAAAAGAGUCAGCAAUUGACUCUGUUGUGUACGAGUUUUAUGCCUUGUUAAAAGAGCGAGAAAAGAAUAAAGCAUAGCACAAUGUGCACCCUCAUGCGAUCAUCUGAGGCAAAAAGCUCAUGUGUACUCCCCAAAAAAUUUACAACUUUUCUAAUGCCCCAUACUAUGUCUCUGAUGCUUUAGAUGCAUUAGAUAUUAAUCAUUUCAGAGACAUAGAUAUGGAUGAGAUUGUUACUUACUUAACCGAGGGGAGAGAAGUUUGGAAAUACCAAUCGAACACCAACAUCCCAUUAUUGUUCAAUAAGAAAUAAUGUUCUUGGUUUCCAAAAUAUGGAUGCAGUUUAUCUAUACGCUAAUCUCACCAGCUUUAAAUGUGUCUAACCUUAAUGCAUUUUGAGUUAUUUUUUUUAUUGUAUCUUGCAACGUCGAGAAGUGUGCAUGAGUGAUAACUCUUGAAAAGAGUUAUAUUUAAGGCCUCUAAAUAGAAUUAAUUAGUUGUAAUUAAGUGAAUACAUUUUCAUUUUUAGGAUAUUUUUAGAACAUUGCAUAAUAAACCUUGGAUUGUGAUAUAAUGGUCAUUAUUUGUUACUUUUAUAACUUGGGGAGGAAAUGUGUGGUUUUGUGUGAAUACAGGUGUAAGAAGAGCAAGAAAAUGAAGAUGGAAAAUAAAGGAAGUGAAAUAUUAUCGUAGCAAAUAGUGAAAUUGAUUGCCAACAGAUUUGCCAUGGUAAUUUCGAGAAGAUGACUCAGCACUUUAUCCACAUCAUUCUCAGCCAGUUGUGCGUGUACCAAAAAAUCCAACCUGAAAAGAAAAAUGAAAAAAGUGUGCUGAGGUGAGACGAAUCUACCCAAUAAAAAAAGAAGAGAGAAGAAGAAAAAAGGAGGAGAAUUUGUAUAAGAAAGAGACUAGUUACAACAAUCCUCUCUCUGCACAGAGAAAAACUCCAUUGGAUAAUUCCAGAGAAAUAAAGGGUAGCAGCUACAGAGAGCAGAAUAUAGACGUGUAGAAGGGAAAGAGACAUCUAUCCUGGAUUCACAUACGAUUGGAAGAUAAAAGAGAAUCUAGAGUGUGGCGAGAAAUCCUGCAGUUAUGCCUUUAGUUUUCCUGAUUUUUGUUAUUCAAAAUUCUUUAAAUGUUGAUGAAUGAUUUAAUUUUGGUGUUUACUUUUCCACCCAUGAACUAAAUCUUUUCUGGGUUGGAGUUAUUUGGGUAGAUGUUUAUCAUCUUUAAUUUUCAUGAUUUGAGAUUGCUUGUAUCUUUUUUCAUUCGUUUAUGCAUAUUUUAAAUACAUGCAUGCAAGCUCUAGACAUAGUUGAUUGUAUGUUGUGUUCAUAGAUGUAUUUUUAAUUCUGAAAAGGUUAAAUAUACUGGAUCUAUAAUUUUUUUAUGCAAGCGAAUAUUCGACUAAAUAUUCGUAGCACUCUAGACAUAGAUGUUGCGAGUUGUGCAGAGAAGAACGUUCAUUGCAGUUAUUAAUCCAGAGUUCUAUAGACAUACAAUAACUUAGAUUUUAAGCUUUAAACCUAGCUAUUGAAAGAGGCAGGUUACAGUAGUAACUCUCUAAGCAAUCAAUUAGACAAUAUUUUGCCAUGACAUUAUUUUGAUAUGAGGAUUUCACCUGAAUAAUUCCAGCCAUAUUCAUUUAACAACAGAAUUACUCUUGCUUUUCUCUAUAAUUUGCCACAACAUUUUAUUUGCCAUAUCAAUUCUUUGCUUUUAACAUUAAAUUACAUUAAUUCAUUUUACCAAUAUCUUAUUCAAUUUAAGAGUAUUUCCUUCUAUUUAGUAUAGUUAAUAGGAUUAUAAUAACUUAAUCAAUCUUAUACCAAUUUUAGAUCCCUUUGGAUACGAUACUUACUUAUCACUUUAUUACUUGAAUGAUGUGUACACUUGCACAAUUGCAUUAGGUAUUUAUACGCAACAAGUUUUUGGUGCCAUUGCCGGGGAUCGACAACAUUGGUGAAAAGUUGAUUUGUUAUUAUUCUUGUAAUUUUUGUUAGAAUAGUUAAUUAGUAUUUUAUUUGAUUUUUCAGGUUUUGUACUAGUGCAUGAGAAGAAGUAUUCAAGAGGAUACAAAAUACUUUUUUGAUCCUAAGAUUGAAAGGAAAGUAAGGCGAAGGAGGUAAGCAUUAAGGGAAAUGAAGAGGAUUAUAAAUGAUCCAUUCAGAGAAUAUCAUGUACUCUAGAAUGAAAGGAAUGCUGAUAUUCCUCGAAUCUUAGAUGACAGAGAUAGACCCAUCAGAAAACAUGUAGUGCCUAAUUUGGGUGAUCUAAGUCCAGGAAUUGUUAGGCCACAUAUUCAAGCUCAACACUUUGAAUUAAAACCAGUAAUGUUUCAGAUGCUGCAGAUGGUAGGACAGUUUAGUAGUUUAACAACUAAAGAUCCCAGAUUGCACUUGAGACUUUUUCUUAAAGUCUGUAACUCAUUCAGGCAGUAGGCUAUUCCUGAAGAUGCCCUCAGAUUAAAAUUAUACCCUUAUUCAUUGCGAGAUCAUGCUAGAUCAUGGUUGAAUGCAUUACCAUCAAGUACGGUGGCGUCUUGGAAUGAACUGUGUCAUAUAUUUUUGCUUAGGUACAAUCCUCCCAACAUGAAUGUCAAGCUGAGGAAUGACAUUACAUCGUUCAGGAAAUCUGAAGAUGAGACAUAAUACGAAGCAUGGAAGCAUUUUAAGGAUUUAAUUAGAAAAUGCCCAAUGCAUGGUUCUCAACAUUGGACAAAAAUGGAAAUUUUCUACAAGGGAUUAAAUGCUCAUACAUGAAUUAUAGUGGAUGCAUUUGCUAAUGGGACGUUGCUUGACAAAUCCUACAAUGAAGCAUAUGAAAUUUUGGAAAGAAUAGCCAACAAUGAUUAUCAGUACUCCACUACAAUGAAGAGUUGGUACUGGUAGAAUAGCAAACAUUUGAGGAACGCCAACACUUAAACUAGGUAGUUUCUUCUCUUAUCUAUUAGGCGCACAUUAGGGACAAUGUGCCAAAUAAAGUGUAAGGUAACAUAGAAAUUUUCAUAAUUUUUCAAAAAAAUUCUAAUUUCUUAUGUUUUUAUUAGUUGUUUUCGUUAAUUUUUGUUUUGUAUGUUUGUUUGUGCGUGAGCUUAUAGCAUACAAGUGAUUGGAUAGAAACAUGUAAAUAGGAUUCUGUGUUUGAAUUGUAAAUAUAAGUCGAUGGCAAUCGACUUUAGGUUGUUUAAUAUUACACUAAUUAGUUCAUUCUGUUACACUGUGAAUAGGUGAUAGUGUGUUAGGUAUACCAAAUGACAAAUAGGUACAUAAAAAGCAUAUGUGUUUGUUUGAAUAAUAAGUGUUAGAGUGUUAAUAUUUAGUUAAUUGUAAUCCAUGAAUUGAUAAAAUUAGGGAUGACCUAAGGCAUUGUUUGGCAGAAAAAUUUUGAUCUAAAAUGCCGACCUUGAUUUAAAAUCCCUAAUACCCUAUUUUUUAGCCUAAAACUCUAUUUCUUGAUGAACUGCAAUGGAAGCCCUAAGCCUUAAAUAUAAUCUCUUGAUCCGAUUUUCAUCUUCCUUGCAUGAACUUAGACUUCAGGCCAUCGAUAUUAAGGGUUAGGUAGAGACGACAAGGUAGUUUUCAAAAUAAAAGGAAAAUAAAAGUGAACCCAAGGGAUAGUAUAGUAUGGUGAGUAUAAAAGUCUUGCAAACUUGUACGUAAAUAGAAAAAUAGAAAAAAAUUAUCAAAAGAAAAAGUUUGAAAAGGCUAAAAUAGCCAAGCGACAAGUUCUCGAGAAAAUAGGAAAGCAAAGUGAGUGAAAAAGAAAGAAAAGAAAAUUUCCUCAUUGUUUUGCACAAAUAGCUCGCUAAGACGAUUGUAUUCACUAAUAUUGUACUAUACCUUAGGAAUCAGAGAGAAAAGGUAGGUGAGAGAAGGGGAUAUAAAGUGGUGAACUAAAGGGGUUAAUCGGGAAAGUAUUGGGGUCAAUAUAAUUUUCCAAACUAUUUUCAUGCUUAAAUCGUUUUGUUGUGUCUGUCCUUUAAUUCCAAAUCAACCUAAGUUGUAGAACGUUACAAGCCAAAAAGACCUGGGUGACCUAGGUGAUACUAUUCGUGGAUGAAGAUUAGCCAAAUUUUGACAUUUCUAGUUACUUGUAUUCUUCGAGCAUGAAUGUAAAUUUUUUGUACCUAUUUCGAUGGAUCAAUGUGCUUACAUUCUUCAAUUUGUUUCCUUUGUAAUUUUAUGAACAAAUGUUUGUGAUAUUGAAGGUAAGGAGUAAAUUUAAUAUCGUGUUAGAGUUACGUAUUUAUUCACAAUGUUCUGUGUACAUAGCUCUAAACUAGUCUUUGUAUAUGACAUGCUCAAGCACUAUUUGGUUGUUUUAUUUUUCUUGUUUGUGUGUGUUUUUAUUUUGUUUCUUGAGGACAAAAAAUAACUUAAGUGUAGGGGAGUUUGAUCUGCCACAAUUCGUUGUGGCAAAUUAAUGUCUUUCUGGCACUUAACGAGUUUGUUUCUAGUAUUUUUAUAUGUUUUUGGUUUUUAUUGAUUUAUGUUUAAUAGAUGAAAAAUAAGCAUUUUUACGCAAUUUUGAGUUAUGUUAUGAUCUAAUGGGCCACUACAGGCCUAGGGAUGAUUUAAUGGCUCUAUUUAGUGUUUAGGACACUGUUUUCGGGCUUAAAAGACGAAAGAUGAGUGCAACGUCACGACACUAGUCCUGUGGUGUCGUGACACUGGGUAAAGAUUAGGAAAAUUAAGCAUGGGUAUUUUUGUCCACACAAUGAACUAUAAUCAGAUUUUUUGGUUGUUUGGCAACCCUAAUUAGGUUAGAUCAUAAACUUUCUAAAUAGGCAUGUUUAGCCUCAUUUUAAGAGGCCAGGCCAAGUGAGCCACUUAGUUAGUUUUAGGGUUUUAGUUUAGUUUUUAUUUUAUUUCAAUUUAGUCCUUUAGACAACUUAUGUUCUUGUUUAACUUUGAUUUGAUUCCGAUCCAAGCUUUUGGUUUAGAAAUUUUUCUUUAUUUCUUUGUGGAUUCCAAUUGCAAUUGGAGUGAUCUUUGUGACUGUUAAAGGAAAUUUCGCUUCCUAAAACGAAUUGAUAUCAAAACGGAUUUAUUUUCCUAUUCCCUUGUUUUAUUUAAUUUAUUGCUUUGUAUGUUUAAUAUGAGUUUGGGGAUUAUUGUUGUAACAGCCCGAUUUUGAUCCUAAUCGGAACGGUGGUUUCGGGACCACGAAUCUGAGUUAGAAAAAUAUUUUAAAAUUAUUUUCUGUGUUUAUUAUGUAUGAAUUUACUUGUGUGAAAAUUUUGUGCUUUAAUUUUGUCGUUUGAGUGUCCGAUUAAAUAAAAGGAUUAAAUCGCGUAAAAUAAAAAUUUAGUGGUUAUUUCUAAAAGGGCCGAAUAGUGGUUGUUCUUUAAAUAUGGGGGUUUUAUGUUGCACUUUGACCAUUGAAAAGAUAAUGGACAGCAUUGUGUUUAUAAUAUAUAGUUUUUAUAUUAUUUAUAAAGGUUAUAAUAAUAAUUUAUAUAUUACAAUGUUAUUAUAAUAAAAACAAAACAUAAGAAAGUGGUCAUUUUCAUUAUAUUUGUGCCGAAUGAAAAGAGAAAGAAAAUAAGAAAACCAAGCUAGGUAUUCGGCCCUUGUUCAAGAAAAUUAAUGUAUGUUUCGGUUUCGAUUUUUGAUGAUUUUUAUGUUUUUGAGAUCGUUGCUUCGAAUACUACCCGACCCAUGCUUCAAUUUUUUAUUUUGAUGAAUAUUUUGAGUUAUGCCAUUGAUGAAUAAUUGUGUUUUGUGAUAUUUGAUGAUGAAUUAUUGAAGAUAUGUUUUGGGUUAGUAUGUUUUGUAUUGGAAAUUUUGAUGAAUUUGAGUAAUUAGAGCUAAAUUGCAAAAAUAAUAAAUUGAGGGACUAAAAUGUAAAAUAAAUGAAUUUUGUGAGCUUGCAUGGGAAUAAUGAAUAUUCGGCCAAAGCUUGGUAUGUGUAAAUUUUGUAUGUUUUGUGUUUUAUGCAAAUUGGACUAAAUUGUAAAAAGUAUAAAAUAUCAGGGGUAAAAUAGUAAUUUUCUCCUUUAUGUGUUUUUGGGUUAGAUUGAAUGAAAUUGUGUUUAAAUGAGCUUAAUUUGAAAUUGUAUAGAUCAAGAACAAAAGAAAUCAGACUUGGAUCGGGGGGAAAAAUAGUAGUUGAAUAGUCGUUUUAUAUACCCGUCGAUAUCCGAGGUAAGUCUAUAAGCAUCUAUAUAUAUUGUUUAUUUUAAUUAAAUAUGAAUUUUAUACGCUGAAAGGAAAUAUGUGAAAUUAUACAUGUGUUAAUCAAAUGAAAAUAAGCUUGGAAGCUAUGUUUAUGAAUUCGUUUCGACCGAGUUACGACAUCCGAAAGGCUCGUACGAACCUUAGGAAUAGCUAGGAUACAUAUGUCAUGACAUAGGAUUUUUGAUAUGUGUUCUCGUGUAAGACCACGUCUGGGACGAUGGCAUCGAUAUAUGUGAUUACGUGUAAGACCAUGUCUAGGACAUUGGCAUCGUAUUUGAUUCGUGUAAGACCUUGUCUGGGACAGUGGCAUCGAUAUGAGAUAGCAUGUAAGACCACAUCUGGGACGUUGGCAUUGUUCGAUAUAUGUGAUUAUUCGAGUAUCCUAUUAAAUUCCGAAUGGUUUAGCGGGCAAUGAUAAGUUGUGAUUAAAGGUGUAAAACGAGCUAAAACGAUCAGGUAUGAGUUACUUGACUACCUAUUUAAAAAUACGGUAAGUUGGCCAAUUGGUAUGUGAUAUAAAUUAUAUAAGUUACUAAUGUGAACAUAUGUAUAUUGGUGAAGUAUAUUCGGCCAUGUGUUAUGUAUAUGCAUAUGAUGUUAUAUUUUGGUUCAAAAUUAUAUGUAUAUGUGUGUAAAUAUAUAUUCGGAUAUAUAAUGAUAUUAUGUCUCUGAAUUGAAUGACACUUCGAAUAUAUAUACAUGUACAUUCGGUUAAGAUAAGAUUUAUUUAAGAAAACACAUGUUUUAUAUGAAAUGUUAAGCUUGAGGUUAAAUGUGAUUAUGCUAGUAUAAUUUAAUUUGGUUAAAAAUGAGUUGAUAAUGUAGUUUAUAUUCGGUCAAAAUAGAUAUGUAAUAAUAAGGUUAAAAAUGAGAGUUGCACAUGUGAAUGACAUUAUAUAUAUAUUCGGCCAAAUGUUAAACUUAUGUGUAUUCGGUUAAAUAUGGAUUUGAUGUAUAGUAUGUGUUUGAUAAAUGUAUUUUUCGAUUAUGGAAAUGGAUAUGAAUAUUGAAAACAUUAUUUGAUUUUGUUGUAACUAAUUAAAUGUUGUUAAGUUAUUUAAUUGCUCAUGACUUGCUAAGCUGUAAUAGCUUACUCUGUGUGUGUUUUUUCCUAUACUUUUUUAGAGUUCCAAAGACUUGCUCGGGUUGGAAGUCAUUGGAGUCGUCAUCACACUAUUCGGUUAUCGUUUUGGUUAAUUAAGGCUUUGAGUUUUUGGUUAUGUGACAUGUAUAGGCUAGUUUUAAUUUAGUUGUUGUAUAUAUAUUUUUAGCCAUGCGAAAAUGGCUUGAUCUAAUGCAAAUGAUUCGAGGUUUAAGUAAUUUUGGUCAUAGUAAAGGGGUGGGGUAUGCUUAGUAUUUGAAUUUGGUAAGACGUAAUGAUAUAUAUAUGGUUUAUAAUUAUUUUAUUUUGGUAAGCAUGAUAUGGAUGAUGGAUGUGUUAUGGUUGUGGUUGUGGUUUAUUAAUGAUGCUAAUGAUAGUGAUUUUCGGUAUUGUAUUAGCUUAAUUUGUAAGUAUGAAUUAUGGUCUAAUUUGUGUGAUGAAAUGGUAUUGAGAUUUGGCUUGAUUAAAUAGGUAAAAUACGAUAUAUAUUGAAGAUGACAUAAUGGUUAUUUCGAUUUAUGUGAUGUAAAUAUAGGUGAUGGUCAUAAUCUAGUUUGUGAUUCGGCAUUGGUGAUCAAAUCAUGUAGUUAAGUAUUUAGUUAUAUGUUAAUUUUGAAUUUGGUUGUAUUCAUUAUGUAUGGACUAUGUUAUGCUAUGAAUAUUUGGUAAAUUGAAAUGAUUAAUUUGAGUAAAUUUAUAAUGGCAUGAGUACAUUGGUGAAAUGGAUUGAAAAUGGAAAUUUAUAUAUUAUUAUUUAUAUUUAAUUGAUGAAAUGUAAACAAAUAUAUAUGUCUUUGAUAAGUUAAUUUGAAUGAUCGAAUAUAUAUAUAAUAAAUUGAUUUAAGUGUGUAUAUGAAAUUUUGACAUGAUUUAUACUGUAUGGAAUUGGCACGUUUUGAAUUGGUUUUGCAUGUAUUUUAGGCUUAAUAAUUAGCAUGUGAAUUGGGUAUAAAUUGUUUGGUUAGUUUGCUAGCUGAAUAGAAGAUAAGAUGAAUGGCAAAGCAUACAAAUGUUUUGUACUUAAAUGGGAAGUUAGGCAUGUAUGUUUUAUUAGUUGAGUUUUAAAAAAAAUGGUGUAUAUUUUAUAAGGUUAAAUGCAUUUGUGGCUAAGAUGUUUAUAUGCUAAACUUGACUAUUUGGUGAAAGUGAUUGUGCUGCAUUUUCUAAUGGACAAUAAGCCGAGCAAUAUGGAUUGUUUGGUUUUAUGCACAUGAAUAGAAAUAUGAAUUAAUAUGUUUGAUAUUCAGCUUAAGAAGUAAAAAAAAAAUGCUUGGAUGUCUUAAUGUAUGCGUAUGAAAUUUGUAAUGUGAUGAGUCAUCUUAUAAUUUGAUUUUUGAAUGAUAUGAGUAAGAAGUAUAUAUGUUUUGAAUGGUAGGAUUUUAAAGCAUGUGUAAUAUGACUAUUUUGAGCCGUGUUUUUUUUUAUGGUAAUGCCUUGUAACCCUAUUUCGGCGACGGAUAUGGGUUAUAGGUGUUACAAUUGCAUCUAGAUCCAUGAAUAGCUAAUUUCCUUAGGGAGAUUAACGAACGAAUGUGUGAUUAAUUAACAAAUAAAUUAGGGUUUAAAUCUAAGUUUGUUGGUUUAAAUUAUGUGCGAUUAAACCCUAGAAAGUGAUUCUCUUAUGAAGUAAUUUAGGAUAAACAAGAUCGAGAGAUAAGUUUACCGAGAAAAUCAUAAUUUAUCCCGGUCAAGAAAGUGAAGCCAAGAGGUAAGUGUGUAUUGGUUGAUUAGUUAAUUAGUUAGAUCCCAAGAGGUAAUAACUGGUUAAUUAAUAGCUAACUUAAUAAAACCUGAGUUCUAAAUUUAAUUAGGAACACUGAAGUGAGUUAAUCUCCUACCUCUUUUUUAGAUUUUAUUUUGAUUGUUAAUUGGUCAUUUUUCUUUUAGAUACUUUUAUAUUACUUUAAUUAAUUUAUUUUAAUUUAGUUUUUCAUAAUAUAAUUUUAAAUUAAUACUACUAGUGUAGAAAAUGAAGUUACAUUUAAUUCAACCUUCCUUGGGUACGAUCCUCGGAAUGAUUCCCGGAGUGUUUCAUUGUAACAUUCUUUACUAUAUUACAAUUUGACAUGUACGCUUGCAAACACUAUUGUUUAAUUAUAUGUUUAUUUAUUGCAAUAUUUCCAACCUAGAUUUCUGCACAUCUGGUGAUGGUCAAUGUCGCAACACAACCCUGAAUGAAAACCAAAAGAGCAAACUGUCGUCAGUGUCGUGUGAGGGUAUUGCAACACAGUUGUGACAAGGCCACUUAAAGGGGAAAGGGUGUUUUCAUCUGUACAACUCAACUUAAUGAUGUUUAGUCAGUCGUAUUAGGUCAAAAUGAGGCAGCUAGCCUUGAUCCUAUAAAUACCAUUACUCAUAACUGUUUAAGGGACUUUUUUUCCUUCCAUUUUUUACUUCUAUUCUUAGUUUUUAGGGUCUUAGUUUUAUUUUUUUAUUUUUGUUCUUGUUUUGUUCAUUCAAUUGAUUCAAAUUGUGGAUCACUUAGAUUCUGUCAAGGAUUGCACUUCAAGUCACCAAUACGAUCUUCAGAAUCUUUUUAUUUCUCUUUACUUGUUUUGCAAUAUUUAUAUGUUUCAAUUAAAAACUAUGAUGAUGUUUGAUAGAUCUAUGUGUAACUAAAAUCCUGAGGAGAUUAACAAGCAGAUGUGGUAAUAGUUAACAAUUAUUUAAGGAUUUCUUAGUGGAUCAAUUGGUUUGGGAAAAGAGAACAUAAACCCUAGGAUUGAUGACCCUAAGAAGUUAUCUAAGUAGAGAGGAAUCUAAGAGGAGAAGUCUACUGGGCACCCCUUAACCUAACCCGGUCUAACCUGUGACAUCGAGAGAUAAGUAGUGUUUGCCGACUCAUUAGAUUAGUAAAAGGCCGAGAGGCCCUGCUAGAUUAAUGACUAGCUGAUUGAAUAGAACCUGAAAUAGAAAUUAACUAUGAAUACUGAAGCGAGUAAGUGUUCUGCCUUUAGAAUCUGAUAAAUCCAUAAUUUGUUCCUCUCGAUAUUAUAUAUCUUUGCAUUGUUCUUAUUUUCACUUCUUUUAUGAAUAAUAAUAUAAUUAGGAUUAAGUACUAUUUAGACCUAUUAGCAUAGAAGUUAGUGUUAAUUUAAUCAAACCUCCUUUGGGUACGAUCCUCAAAAUACUUCUAUGUUCCGUUGUAACUUCUAUAUUACGACCUGCCCCGUAUACUUGCAAACAUUGCCUUAGUUCUUGUUUGUAGUUGCAGUAUUCUCACUUUCGAUGUUAGUACAUCGGGAGGCGGUCAAUUAUAUAACUGAAUCGACCCUUAGGGCUCAUAAUAACCAAUUCAUAUGCCACCAUUUAUUGCUUAAACAACAAGUUACAAUUGUAUAAUUUCAAUAUCUAAUGUCGAUAAGUGAAUUACAUGUUUUCAUAAUCCCUAUUAACCGAACAUGGAAUCAAGACGGAUAUAUGAUCAUUCAAUCAUCACACUUGUAGCAGGCCCAAUUAGCCCGGGCCUGUACUAAAUAAACCAAACCUAAAAAUAUAGUAGUCCAUUAACAAUUCAAUAGUCCAAAAUUAGAACCCAAAUUGAACCCAAUCAAGCCCUAAGUCCUAGCCCAAAUCAAAUUUAACCCUAUCCCAACAAAAGUCAGUAAACAAAAAACCUUAGGUGCGCCGCACCUAGGUCUUCUGGCCUUGCUGUUGCCGCCGUUCGUCGCACGUUCCAUCCGCACAUCGCACGCCACCACCACCAUAGCCUCCUCCAUGCGCGUCAGACCACCUGCAAGAGAAAACCACACGCAACAACAGAAACAAAAACAAUAAACAAAUAGAAAAACGAAAAAAAAUAAUGAUUAAGGAGUUUGUAAUCCGGCUAUAAAAGCCCUAAUCUAUGACUUGUAUUUUUUUUACGAACAUUAAUAUAAACAACAAAAUCAAAACAGAUUUAAAAAGGUGACUUUUUUUUCCUUGUUGGUUUGAUUCUCUUUUUCUAUCUUUUUUUUUACGUAUUAAGUAUUAAAGAACAAAAAGGGGGAAAAAGGAACUCACCGGAGAUGGUCGUGGCUGCACCGUCGGAGGGUCUCUCCUCCGUCACUCGAUUCGGGUCAAAAAGGGUCGAUGGUCUCCCCUUUGUUUAUUUCUCACGGGUUAAGAGAGCUUGGCUCUCAAAGAUGCCGCAACGAGGGCUAAAAGGCCUUCCUUUCCCGACGCCGACUGCCGACCACGAGGCAGCGCGACAAAAGCCGAAGAAGGCCAUCGGCCGAAUGUGAGGAGGAGGGGUUGAGAGAGUUUGAGAGACCCUCAGUUUUUUUUUUUUGAAAAUAAAGGGUGAAAUGUUUUUUUGUGUUUUUCUUGCUAUUUAUAUGGGGUCAAUACGGCGCCGUUUUGGACCUUAGCAUCAGUGGCCAAAAUGACGCCGUUUUACUUAGGACCCGAAUACCCGACCCGCCUUGAUAAGAUCCGCGUGUUUUCUAAUUUGAGGGGUUAUUUGCGCACGCGGUCCCUCCGUUAUUACAACAUAGCGCAAUCUGAUCCUUUGUUAGUUUUUUUUAUUUUGGCCACGAAAUUUUAUUUCUGUUUCAAUCUGGUCCUUAGGCCAUGUGCAGUCCCUUGGUUAAACGCCGCGUUUUAGGAUUGGGAAAUAUUUCCCUGAAAGUCCCUCGCGCUGUAGAAGCGUUUCAUUUCAAUUCCUUGGCAAUCUUGUUUUUAUUUAUUUGCGAAUUAAACCCUUGAUUUUGGGCCCGAUUUUAAUUUCAUCCUUAUUCCAUUUAAUUAAUUUACUAUUCAUUUUUUAAAAAAAUAAUUAAUUUAUUAUUUUAAAAAAAUGGGGGGCUCUUCUUUUAUUAUUUAUUUUAAGUUUUACAUAUAUUAAUAUUUUAUGCCUUACCUAAUAUUUACUUAAGUUUUUAUUUACAUUAUUUGUUUUAAAUUACCAUAAAUAUAUACAUCGUCUUUUAAAUUUUUAUACAUAUAUUUUUAAUAAAGAAAGAGUAUUGUUUGUUUUGUAUUUUUAACUUUCUUAGUUUUCUCUUUCAUUUUAAGUUUUAUAUAUUGUUUGUUUGAGAUAUUUUACCAUUCAUUCCAAACUAAUCUUAUAAAUCACUUGUUUUAUACUAUUAGUUAUAUAAAAUUGUUCUCUAUUAUUUCGUUUCGUACUUGGAUUGUUAAUAUUGGCAUGUUAAAUUGUUGCAUGUGGUGUGAUUAUUAUCAUUAUGUACGUUGUAAUUAGUUUAUCUGUUUUCGCAUUAUUGCCAUUCAUUAACAUGAUACUUUAUUCGUAAAUUGUCAUAUCAUGUUCUAUAUUAUCGUUUCAUUUCAUUUCAUCACUUCAAAAGUUAUGUUUGAUUUGUACAUACCCAUAAUAAACCGUUUUAUUUUAUCACAAAGAAAAUAAAUGCAACAUCGCUCAAGUAUUGUAUUCGCAUUAUUCAAAAAAGGGAAAAGUUUUAAAAUAAGGCAAUGUUUCGUGUUUUGGGAGAUUUAAGAAAUUGUACUCUAACUUACGCGAUUUCAAUUUUCUCGUUAAACCUAAAUAGCAAAAUAUCCUUUUAAAUUCCAAAAUAUACGAAAUUUCAAUAAAAAAUCAAAAGCAAGCUUGUUCUCUAAGGUUCCCAAAUAUCAUGUCCUAACUUACGGGACGUGACAUUUCAUUACCUCGAGACAAGUAGGUCUUUAACUUCCUUUUCGAUUUAUUCAAGCGUUUUUAAUAACAUUAAUAAAAAAGGGAUCGUAUCUUAAAUUUCCUUUCAAAUUUUUAACUUUCAGCAUUAAGACAUUAAGUAAUUAACUAGGUAUCAAUUUUGGGCGCGUCAAGAGUGCUAACCCUUCCUAGUGUUUAACUGACUCCUGAACCCGUUUUCUAGAUUUUGUAGACCAAAAAUGAUCGUUUUAGUAAAUUUAAAAUUUUAUUAAAAUGGUUACAUCACGAGCUGAUCCGAUCACACCUAAAUAAAAAAAGAUUGGUGGCGACUCCCAUGUUCGUUUCUGUUUUCAAAAUUAAAGUCGACUCCUUUUACAAAAAAAAUAAAAAAAUGGUUUCGACAACACCAAUAUAUCCAACACCUAGUGCCUCAUCAAAUCUGAAGUAUAAUAUGCGUUCUGUACCUCGUCUGUAUAAGACGAAGUAUAUAAAUAUGUCUAGCACUUUACUAGAACAUCUGACGUAUAAUAUGCACACCGCGCCUCAUCGGUAUAAACCAAAAUAUAAUCUCGUAUACUAAUCUUAUGACAUGUCAACUAUACUCGACUCUACUCGAGAUGUUAAUAGGGUAUCCAAUAUUUUUAUUAGUGUAUAAGGUUCACAUAACAUAGUUUAAUACAUAUAAAUUCAUAUCAUACUCAAAUCAAUUCAUACAAUUCCAUAUCAUCAUUUGCAUAUCAUCACAUUUUUCACAAUUUAUCAACUAUUUCAUACUUACCUAUUCAUGAGACAAGUAAGUUCAUACCUUAUUUAGGCUAAUUGCAACAAUCCAUAUAUGAUAUUUUAAAUUUAAAUCAUGAAAGCACAAACCGAGAUAGCUACUCGCCUACGACCCUCGCAUUUCCUUUAUCUCGAGACAACCUGGUGUCGUCUUUAGCUAUGUACGAUAAUUCAAUUAUAAAAAUAGUAUUUGUUUUCACCCAAUCACAUGAAAAAUACAUAAUUGAACAUAGUUUUCAUUUUAUUCAUUUUAGUCCUUAUAUCUUAUAUGCUCAUAUUUUUCAAUAUUUAACAUUGGAUCAAAAUCAAAUUUCAUAUUCUUUCAUUAGGGACCUUUUACUUUUAAUCAAUAGCAUAAUUUCUUAACAACUUUCAAUUUAUUCAAUUUAGUCUCUAAUAUCAAAGUUAACUAAACCUUUAAUUCUAAGCUAAUUUCACUACCUUUUAAUACAAUCUUAACCAAAUCUAAGCUUAACAAUCACAUAUUCAUCAUUUUAAAGCUUGAAUUUAACAAAACUCUUUCAUGGUAACAUAAUACAUAUUGAUAAUUUCAUAAUCUACUAAAUGGGUUUUCUAGCUUAAGUUCUAAGGACAAAAAAUAUAUAAAAUUCUUUAAGAAAACAUCAAUUUUAGACCAAAAUGUAAAAGAAGCAAAAGGAAAUUUUCUUCCUUCUUGAAGCUAGGGACGGCUCAAUUGAGAAGAAAAUAUGAAUCUUUUUCAUCUCUCCAGCCAACUUUUUUAACACCCCAUACCUGAUCCAGUCGCUGGACAUGAGUUACAAGAUGUCACAAUAGUAAACCGAAACAUUUAUAUGCAAUAUGUAUCAACAACAUUCAAUAAAUGAAAAUGUACAAGUUAAGUUCAUAUUAAACAUGCAUUACAAUCAAAAUUAAGCUCAAUCAAUCUUACAAAAGCUUUUAAACAAGUUCGAACUAAAUCGAGACCAAUCUGAAACAUUUACAAAAUAAUAGAUAAAAAGUUAAAACAGGGGUCACGCGGCCGUGUGUUCAAGCUGUGUGACAAGGUUGAGGUCGUGUGGGGCUAUCACACAAUCGUGUCUCCAAACUGUGCAACAAUUUGAUGUUGUGUAAUCUAAGGUGACACGGCUGUGUCACCAGGCCGUGUAGCAGACUGUGAUCUGUGAACUAAAAACCACCCUGACUGUGUUGAACACAUGACCGUGUCAUCCAAUCAUGUGAGACACACGACCAUGUGGUUGCCCGUGUGCAACAAAAAUAACCUAUUUGGGCAAGUUUUCAUACCACUCCUUCAAGUGACCUAUAAUGUCAUUUCGUUCUAUUCAAACCAACACCAAAGCAUGCAUUUCCAAGUCAAAACACCAAUUGACCUAACCAUUUUAACAUACAACCAAUAUGCCCUCAUUAGAACCAACAAUUAAAUAAACUCAAUUCGUGUUUCAAACAUUUCAUAUCACAACUCAAUCAGACCAAACACAAGCAUAUACUUAACAUGACCAAAGUCUAAAGCCAUUUCAUACCACCAUCAUAAACAUAUGUAUAAUGCCAUUCAAACUACCAGACUUGACAUAUACCAAAAAUCCAAUAACCAACCACAAACAUAGGUUUAUAUAUAUAAGGUUAUUACUCCAAAUUUCACAUUAUCUUACACAAGAUAAUCCAACCUAAGUACAUGCCACAAGUAACCAAAAUGAAAUAUCAAAAGUCUAUUGAAUCGAGAGAUGGUAGGUGUGAGCUUCUCGCUGAUCUGAUCGACACGUUCCGGACGUCCAAAAAUCUACAGAAAAGUAGUAAUACUAGUAAGUAUUUAAAAUACUUACGAAGCUCAUACAAUAUAAACAUUUACUAACCUUAAUCACUUAACAUAAUAUACAAUUCAUUAUGCAAUUCAAAUAUAUCUAUCAAGAUUCAAACAACAACGUCAAUUUAUAAGAUUUUGAUCAACCACGUAUAUAACCUCAAAUGUUCUCAAUUUUAUUUCAAUUUAACUUAUCACUUGUAUGCAAUUCGUAUGCAUAACUUAGUCAACAUUCAAUGGCACAAAAUAUCUUUUUAUUCACAAUAAUACCCGAUGAAACUUCGUAAAAGAAAUUUGUACACAGGUGAAAGUAAUAGUGCCCGGUUACCCGUUUGGGUUAAACCUACACGAAUAAUGAAUCAUAGUGUCAGGUCACCUGUAAGGGUUGAACCUAUACAAAUCGAAUAAUAGUGCCUGGUCACCCAUUAAGGUUGAACCUACACAACAAAUUGUCUGGCUAGGGCUUAAUUAACCUAUAUUCUUGAGUCCGCAACACAUGCUAGAGCUCAGAACCUAUAGACAGUAACCCGUAACCUCAUAUACGAGACUUUUACUAAUUUCAUCAGGAUUAAUCUCAUGUUAUAACACAAUUCCAAUCAACAACAAUAGUUAUCACUAAAACAAGUAUAACACAUUAGUAUUAGAAAUUUAAAUUAUAUCUUAUGAACUUACCUAACAAAGCGAUAAUGCUUUAGAUAAUAGAUACUAUUCGGUAGUUUUUUUCUUUUUCACCUAAGUCAACAACUUGAUCAAUGUAAUAGUUAAAAUUCAAAAUACCAAUACCAAUCUCAUGAUAACACCAAAAUUCAUAUUUAUAAUCUUUUAAUUUAGUUUUACAUAAUUUCCCUAAACUUUUAUAUUUUAUUCAAUUUAGUCCCUAAAACCGGAACAAGUAUAACUUUCACAAUUGAGCUUCAUCUUUUUCAUUCUAAUUUCAAUUAUGUCUUUCUACAGCCCUAAAAAUCCAAAUUUAAAGGAAUUAAGUGUCACUUUUAACAUAUUCACAAUUUAGUCCCUAAAUGCAAAAUUAACAAAAAUUACUUUAUCAAGUAAUCCUUAAACAUUUUGUAGCUUCCAAAUCUACCAUUUUCUAUAAAAAAAAAGAACAUCUAAAAUUCAUCAAUGGCAAGUUUUAAAAUCUUUAACAGUUUUAAAAACAGAAAUACGAGUUACCUAGACCUAGUUGCAACGAUAUCAAAAAUAUAAAAUUUAUGAAAAGCGAACUACAAUAACAUACCAUGCAAAUCUUGGCUGAAGCUUAAGUUUUCUCUUCCAUGGAUAAUCGGUGGUGAAAGGAAGAUGAUAAUGUCUUUACCCUCUUUUUUUGUUU
Molecule: long non-coding RNA, 80431 nt
Filed under: Gossypium barbadense (sea-island cotton)
Lineage: Eukaryota; Viridiplantae; Streptophyta; Magnoliopsida; Malvales; Malvaceae
Description: long non-coding RNA (GBAR_LNC018070)
Source: RNAcentral